Molecule: long non-coding RNA, 47062 nt
Filed under: Sorghum bicolor (sorghum)
Lineage: Eukaryota; Viridiplantae; Streptophyta; Magnoliopsida; Poales; Poaceae
Description: long non-coding RNA (SBIC_LNC013231)
Source: RNAcentral
ACUGUAUCAUAAAUAUAUAGUGAUGUGUGAUGCAUGCUGUAGUUGUGGUUAUAUAUACUUAUUAUAUCAUAUAUAGUGAUGCAUGAGCUGAGAGGUGGGGUUGGAAAUAAAAAGGGACUUAGCUACCAGCAGAGAGAGAAGUUGAUUGGGUGUUUUUUCUAAAGCUUUUUUUGCAUGUUGCAAUCUUGAAGCUAAAGCUGUACUGUAGCAUGCUCUUGUUACAAAAUUACAUCCAGUUGAUUUUUCAGUAAAGCAUGGGAAAGAAAGUGGAGGCAUGCAGGAACAAUCCAGAAGAGUAUAUAUAUCUUGUUUCCUUGGUGCGUGUCUCUCAGAUUCGUUAGGUUUAAGUUGUGUCCAACGUUAACGCGUGAGGCGUGUGACCGGCCGGAAUUGAUUCCGGUCACUUGCUAAGUGGCAGCUAAAGAGGAUGCCCUCUGUUUAAUUCCAUCGAUACCUAUAGCAAGCAAAAGGAAUUUAGGAACUGGACGGGACAAUAAUUGCCGUAUUGCAUCUCCAACUUUUUGCCUGGGAAUUCAGCAGGAGGCUACGUGUUUCACGAACCAAAGAAAAAAGGUCCGGAAUCAGAAUCAGCCCUUUUCGUUGGAUGUGGGCCCACCUAACCUGAUUUUAGUCUAAUUUUUAUCAUAGUCUAAUUUUUCUCCACUUUUUCUAUACUUCAGGUGCAUGAAUUUUAAGGUAAUUUCUGGCAACCCUCUUGUACCACCACCUAGUACAAGUAAUUUAUUACUUCUAUGAUUUGUUAUUUGUCUUUGUGUUACAACAUAUUAAUUUUUUUUCCUUGUCUUCCUAUAAAAAUAAAUCAAAUUGUUAAUUGUCUUUGUACCAAUACAAAUUAGAUUUUGUCGAGUUUGUGGUUUUGUCUAACGUGUUUUUUAUCCUGGUACCAAAAGUUGGAGAUUGCGCCUAUAGAAAUUACAGUAAACAAAAUCUGAAAAUUUAAUAUAAAACAUAUGCAAUAAAUGUCGCUUGAAAGGAAACUAAAACUCAGACACCUGAAUUUUAGCAAAUCCUAUUUUUCUCUUCAAACUCUAUCUAAAACCAAAUAUCUUGACCUCUCAACUCUCAAAAACUAUUUAAAUUGCCUCUUUACACCGAGUAGAGGUGGUUUUCAAGACACGGGUUCAUUCUUUUUAGAUAAAGAAGCUCCAAUAAAUACCUGAUAAGUUUUUGAAAUCAUGAAAAAAGUCUUUAAGCUUCUAAAAUUUUUUGGGACAAAUCCUAGAAAUAGAUUGGAACGACAAACGCAAAUAUAAUAUCUAGGGAUCGGAAAGUAUCUCUAAAUGCUUCCAAAAAUUAUAUUUACCACUAGGAAGAAGUGAUAAAUACUAGAAAAAUCUAGAAAACUUCCCAAACAUUUAUAAUCAAUGUCUAAACACAUUCUGAAAACUUCCCAUAAAGAGUAUGAGAUGCAACCAUAUGAAUGCAAGCCUUAAAUGAGUGUCGCAUCCUUGCUACUUUCACCUUUUUUUGUUGUUGUGUAAAGGUUUUAAAAUGCAUUAUACAUUAAUUAGAUUUUUAGGGAAUUUUCUAAAACAAAUUUUAAUUUUCAAAAGCUUCUAGAAAUAUUUUCAUGAACUCUAAAUAUUUUGUUUCAGUUUUUUGUCCCAAUAUAGCUCUAGGAUUUUUCUUACAAUUUUAUAAUCUUGAAGACAUUUUUGUGGUUUUAUUAAUAACUUAUUUGGUAUUUACCAAAUUUUUAUAACUAUAAAAACAUGAUAAAACAGCCUUGUGAACCGAUAACCCAACUCAGAUAAUUUAAAUGGUUUUGAUAGUUGAGAGGUAAGACUUCUGAGUUUCCGAAAGUUUUUAAGAUUCUCGUCACAUCAAAUCUUUGAACGUAUGCAUAGAGCAUUAAAUAUAGACAAAAACAAAAACUAAUUACACAGUUUGUCUAUAAUUUGUGAGACGAAUCUUUUGAGCCUAGUUAGUCCGUGAUUGGACAAUAAUUUUCAAAUACAAAUGAAAGUGCUACAUAGCCAAAGUCAAAAAUUUUCGUGAAUUAAACAAGGCCUAAGUGGUUGUUUGGAUCUCUAAAAUAUAAAUGUGUUUUAGCUAAAUGAGAUUUAAAGAGGUUUUUAGAUAAACCAGUUUUGAGUUGGUUAGUUAGUCGUGAGUCUAAUUAAAAAUGUGUUUGGAUGGUUCCUGCUACAAACGAACGCGAGUAUUAUGUUUGGUUUGACCGUAUUUUCUGGCGUUGGGUGCUUCAGCCUCAGCUCGGCAAGAUCAUGGAUUCCUGGUUAUCAGAAAAACAGUUUUACUAAAAACGAUGCGGAGCCGUUUUUAUUAAUACACAUUUUUUGAUUUCCGUGGAAAAUGAAUUCAUCUUAUACGAGAGUUGUUAGAAGAUCCAAGCACAGAUUUACAGAUAGUAGUUACAGUAAAGCUAGCUGUAGGGAAACAAAUCAUCAAGAAACGUCAAAAUCCAAAUACCUCUGAAAUUGGCUUAAGCUUAUCUACCAAAUUUACCAAUCAUUUAGCACUAUUUUUUUAUAAUAAAUCAGCGAAUAAUCAUCAUGACUUUUUAGCCGAACAAAGAGGACCCAUGAUAACCCAUAAAGUCUAUGAGUGAGGAACUGUGAAAGGCCCAUGGGCUGGAACUUGGCCAACACGUCUGUCUGUUUCCAUCCAUCAUCAUCAACGAACGAACUCCCUAACCCACUCCAAGAAGUAUUACGCGCCGCCGACUCGCUCUCCCAUAAGCCAUAAACGCCGCGCCUCACAUGCAAACACAGCAACCACCAAAACCCUAGCAAGCUCGUGCAAUCAUCUCCCAUUGACCGUUGCAAUAAGCUUUCCCUAGCUAUUAGCCCCGAGCAACGAUGAUGAUGGCAGCGCGCGCUCUUUUGUUGUCAUCCCGUCUCGCCGGCCUUUACGAGCAGGAGGCGGUGAACUGCGGCGGCCGCCGGGCGUUCAGCGCCGCGGCGACGGCGGUGGCGCGGAAAGAGCCUGUCGAAGCGGCCGGCAAAGCGAGGCCGGCGGCAGCGGCGGAUAAGGCGGCGGCAAAGAUGGAGGAGGAGUCCUUCUGGAUGAGGGACCCCAAGACGGGCUACUGGAUGCCGGAGAAGCACCUGUACGACGUCGACGCAGCCGACCUCCGGGCGCGGCUGCUCUUCUCCAAGAAAGAUUAAUUCAUUAGUUGACGAAAGAGUCCCCGGGAUGAUCCCACAGAGUUUAGAGUUGAGACGACAGAUUUGAGAUGCAAAAACUUUUAAAAUUUUAACAUUGUAGCACUUUUAUUUGUAUUUAGUAAACAAUGUCCAAUAAUAGACUAUAUAGACAAACUGUACAAUUAAUUAUUUUUUAUCUAUAUUUAAUAUUUCAUGCAUAUGUCGCAAGAUUCAAUGUGACAGUAAACUUUUGGAAUUUUGAAAGGAUCCAAACAGGCCCCUUCCUUUCAAUGCAUCAUGCCAUGCAUGCACGAUCAGUAUACAGUAUGGUUUUGUUGGUCGAUCUUGUAGCCUGUUCGUUGUACGCGCGCGAUCGAGUUGACGUGCAAAACUGCAAAAGAGAUUCGCUACCAGUACAUGUGCAUUGCUUAUGGAUUUUGUGUAGGCUGUGUGACGAACCGAGCGUCUGCAUUGGAUCUUCAACAUUAAGUGGUUUUUGGAUGUCUAAAAUUUUAAACCUGUUUUACCUAACAACAUGGUUUUAGGAGAACAGUUUUGAUUGGUUGGUUAUUAGGUAGCGCGAGUUCUAUUAAAAAUGUGCUUGGGUGUUUUUACUUAAAUUGGUUUCCAGCCAAAAGCGGGCCAAACAUAUUUUUAGUAAAACUCAUGCUAACGAACCAAUUCAAAACUAGUUUUCCUAAAAUCUUGUUUAAAACUCAUUUAGGGUGUGUUUAAUUCCCUAUGGAAUGCAAAAUAUAAAAUACCAAGUACUUUGAAAUGAUGAAAUGCAAAAUACUAAAUUUUUCAUGGGUGUUUUUAGUUUCAUCCAAAAUACCAAAAUUUUCAGGGUCCAAAAUACAUAAAGUUGCUCCUUUGGGUUUUUUUGGCUCUUGAAGCCAAAAUCCAGAAUGCAAAAUGACAACCAUUUUGCUAAAAAAAAAAGAUGGUGUUCAGUUCUAUUCUAUAAAAUGGUGAGCCAAAAACCCAAAAAAAUUUGGUCCAAACAGGGAAUAAACAGACCCUUAGCAAAAACAGGUUUAAAUUUUAGUAAUCCAAGUUUUGAAGAUUCUAGUUACUAAAAGUGUAGUGUAGUCAAUACAACUUGUAGUUGCUUAACACAAGUUCUAAAGAUUAUGGGUGCUAAACAAUGUUUUUGAGGCGCCACGUCGGACGCUUAGGCGACGCUAUAUACAUAUUAUAAGGCGUUGUAAUAUAGGAUUUUAUAUACUACUGCAGCGCAUACAUACCUCGCUUGCCAUGUUGUUGGCUACUAUCUAUAACUCUUAUAAAGCUAAACCCCACUAGAUGAAUUCUCUCUUCAUGCAAGGUGUCCACAUCAUUCCCACUAAAUAUUCUAUCUCUUCAUGCAAGGUGUCCACAUCGUUCUCCACUAAGUCCAUGUCAUCUCAUAUUAAUUACAAAAAAUGACCAUGUCAUCUAUAUCAUGUAAAAUACUUCAAAUCUUUAAUCUAUUAACAUAUAAGUCAUGUACAUACACUAUUUGCUUCAUCACCAAUUAAUUCCUCUAUAAUGUAACCAAAUAUUAGUUUUUGUUAUAUUAGCUUAGCAAUUUUUUACUAGAUCUAAUAUAAUAAAAUACAUGCAAGUCAAAUUUAUAUGACAUACAUAAUAGACUAAAUACCAUAUAGUAAUGCUAUGUAUAUAAUGAUUUAUUUUAAAAAAAAAUCCCUCACCAACUCGCGGGGAAUUCGCGUAGUAUAAAAGAAAGCAAGGGCAUUACCAAUAAGUAUCAUACUAAUUGUUGUGAAAUAACGUCUAGUCCCAAUAGGCAUCCAUUCAUUAAUGAUCUCAUCCGUCCGUAUGGAUCCGUAUGACGUCCGUAGGAGUAGUUAGGAUUAGUGUUAGAGAUUAGCGGUUAAUCAUGUCACCAAAAGGCAUGUCCUUCGGUGAGCAGUUAUGUCUCUUGGAGACAUCCCUUUACAUCUAUAUAGAUCAAUGAAAUACAACAGUAAUUCCAAAAAAAAUCAUUGUUCAUUUACAUUCACUUUCAUCACUAAUCAAAGCAAGAGCCUUAUGAUUUUUGUUUUGUAAGUAAAGUAGUAAAUAGUAAACUAAAGAAAGUAUCCCACUAUGAAAGAGGCAGACAUUAUACUAAUCAAAGAAAGAUCCUUAUGCUCUGUGACAACCCAUAAAAUAUAAAAAGUAGAUAUCAACAGUUCAUCUUAUAAUAUUCAGAGCAGAGUAUGUACAAACACACACCAUGAGAAAAAGCAGAGCAGAGUGCAAAAUAAAUAUUCAGAGCAAUGAAGGAGGCAGGGAUAGGCAUGCAACAUGAACAUACAAUAUUCAGAGCACGAGACAUACAAUUUUCAUAUCAAAAGCAAAGCACGAGGCAUACUAUAUUCAGAGCAAAAACAGAGCACAAAGAGCAGAUAAACACUACAAGAGUACAUGCCUGCGAGUUAGCCUAUGGAAGAUCAGAGACAGAGAGGAGGCAGGGGACAUACUAGGCAGAGGCGCAGAAGCGAGACGGGCGAGCAACUGUGGACGGGCGGACGGCCAAUGGAGGCAGAGACUCGAGGCGGACAAGCAGGUGCAGACUUUGAAGACUCGAGGCGGACGAGCAGACUGGAGGCCUGCGGACUUUGAAGUCUCAAGGUGGACGAGCAGACCAGAGGCCAAGCAGAGAUGCAGGGCUAGCUCUGGCUCCGCGGCAGGGGUAACCAACCGGUGGACGAGCAGAGGAGCAGCGAAGCGGACACCUACCGACUGCCGCCUUCUCUCUUCCAGCUGGCCCUCUCUCUUCCUCUCCCCUCGCCCUCACUCGCGACCGUGGUAAAGGCCUCGCGCGGUAAAUUUCCCGCGCGAAGGGCCUAUCUACUUGUCGUGCCAUCGCAGUUCCCGUGCCCUCAAUUUUUGUCACGAACGUGCAGUAGAUUUCCCGUGCGGCCAUAGUCUUUUGGCGCCCUUCCCUGCGAACUGGCAUCCGGCGUCCAUUACGGGCUGGAGGCGUCCACCCGAUGCCAAUCUACUCCUUGUCGACGCCUAACUCGAUUAGGCGGACGCCAUACCAGUGCAGGUCAUGGUGCCCCUGACGCCCAAGCCCUCUACAACGCCUUGUCACCUAGGCGACGACUAGGGAAAGCCUCAAAAACAAUGGUGCUAAGUGUAUUUUGAAAGCAUCAGGAUUUAGGAUUUAUGUAAGACAAAUCUAAAAACCACUUAUGACAUGCUCAUCUAGCCUCACAUGUAAGACCAUGUCAUCGUACAGUCAAGAUGACACACGAAUGGUUUAGUAUAAUUUAUGAUGGUUUGUACUCCACGUAAUAUAAUUAGCAAGUUUAGAGUGCCAAAAAUAAAUUUUGAUGAAUGGUUUAGUAUAAAUUUUUAUGAUUUAGACUGCACGUAAUAUAGUUAGCAAAUUUCUGGUGCCAGAAAUACAUUUCGGAAGUAUCCAAGAUCUAUAAAAAAAUAGUAGACAAGUUCAAGGACCACAAUUAAAUUUACUCAAAAGAAUUAUACCAUAGCAAAACACAUCUCUUUUGAGGUUAUUACAGACAAAUUGUUUUCUGCAACACAGGAAUUUGUUAGCGCGCCUAGAUUCAGGUUCCUUUAGAACGCAGGGAUUUUAUAGGAAUCCUACAAGGAGCACCUAGAUUAGGUACCUUUGGAACACAAGAAUUUUAUAGAAAUUAUACAAACCGUACAGGAAUCAGGUCAUUUUAAACAAAAAGCACAAGAAAUAGGGAGGAAAUCCUGCAUUCCAAUUUCCAAAGGGGGGGCCUUCAACUGUUGCAGGAACACAUACAAGUAAUCAAAUAACAAGAUUUGGACAUGAGUUGCCGGUGUAUCAACUUUAAAACUUCUGGAUCAUAUUCAAUAAUACAGGUCAACACUACAAUCUGCACAUCCAUAGCCACUAUUCUCUACCCACACCAUCACCCCUAAGAAUUGGGGGGUAACAGGUGAAAAAUAACAUAAGCUAAUUGACAUAUUUCAUGGUGCAGAUGCUGUAUAUUCUAUGAGUCAUUGCCUACUUGUACAGGCAAUGGUGACUUCGCAUGGCUACAGUGGGGACAAAUGUAUUCCAGCCCGCCUGUCUUUGAGUAGUCCUGUUGUCACAGCAGCCACGUCAAUUUGUAACCUAAUUUUCUAGAAUUCCUCAAAGGAAAACAAAAUGGAUGCUUUGGGAUCAGCAAGAGUCUACCUUGAAAUUGCCUAGCCCUUGCCGUCUAUCACAGCCAAGGUGGGCCCAUUCUCCACAUACUCCACAGUUCACCCAAUCACCCAGAUCACUACUGUAAAAACAUAAAGUAAUAUGUUAGAAUCUACAGAAAUGAAAAAAAGAGAGACGUCAGAUAUACUAGAAUGAAAUCAGAUCCUCAAACCUGUGGCAGAUCAAGCAACAUUCCACUUCAAUAUCGUCAUGUGCAAGUUCAUAUUCCAGCAAGUAUGUCUCAUAAUGCCUUUUUAGGGUGUUCCCAACACCCUGAAUGUAAAAGAAUGCAUGAUUAGAGUUUUAGUAUAAUGUCAAAUUAACCAGACAGCCAGAUUACAUGUUCAUAAUAAUAACUGAGUAAACAAUUGGCAUUGUGUACUCCAAAUAGCCGUAGUGCAAAAAACUAUUUUAAAAUACAUUUUCUAUAUGCUAAUAAAUAACAGGGCAAAUCUGUGUGUUAACAUCAGAACUACAAAAAUAUAAUAUAAUAGCAUAGAAAAUAGCAAAUUUAAAAUCUUCCCGCUUUCUCAGUACAAUAGCAAGUAAAUUAAACAAAAACAAGCAUACCGUCAUUUUGUUUGUAACUGUAUGGUUGCGCAUCUUUGAAAAGACUUGACCUUUCCAAUUUAUGCCAUUGCCUACAUGAAAGCCACCUCGGUAUACCACCUGGAUGAUGACAAUUCAGAAAAUUUCUCAGCCAAAACAUUUCAGUGUCACCAGUUUUUCUUUAAAUGGCAAUAUUUUCUGGGUGAUAACAGUACCUCAAAGAUUUUUCACAUUGAUGCUCUUUUUUUUUCUAGAGAUGUGAUACUUUUUUUCUUUCAAUGGGAGUGGGAUUAUCCCAAAGCAAUAUUAAAAAAUUGGCAUUCAAACUGGUACAUGAGAACAGCAGUGUGCAACUACCUCUUUGUAUAAAUUAUAUAAAUCAAGACGCUUUGAAUUUAACACUGCAUCAGGAAAUUCUGCCGGUCCUCCCUGAGGUACAAGUCGGUCAUGGCCCCUUUGAAGUAGGAACUGCAUGACAUCUUUCAAGAAGUCUUCCUGCAAAAGAUAGCACAAAAUGAGGGGAUAUUUACUAGGAGGAUGUUUCAGCACAAAAGGAAACAAAAGGAUGGUCCAGAAGUGUACUUCAGAGCAAAUGUUGAUAGGCAACCGAUUGCACUCAUGCUUCUUCAUUGGCAGAGGAUUCAAUGGGAUUGAUGGCUGAACACGUGAUGAGGAUGAUGGUGACCCGGAUGAUGAUUUUCUUUGAGUCACUUUGAUAACAGGUACUGUAUUGUCCUUUACAGGAGGGGCUGGUAAGCUAGGCUUAACUGGACUAGCAUCAUGGAUGGACUGAGCAAACCCCAUAAAGGGAUGCAUUUGUUGCUUGCGAGAGUGGGGAAUGGGUCUCAUUGUUGCAGGCUUUAACCUUGGUUUCAAUGAUGAUAGGGACAUCUUAUUAUCCCCUCCAACUCCUUUGGCACCAAAUGACAUCUGUUUUGACUCGAUGCUUCCAGUAGUUCUAUCCUUAGUAAGGGAUGCUGACCAGCUUGAUAGAUGGGCAUAUGAGACAUUUUGAAUAGCUUUAUCUUUGCACUGGUUAGAGCAAAAGAAAAGCAGCCGAUCAGCAUCCUGCCUAUCAAAUGAGGACACUGGUGUACCAUUUACCCAAGCAAUUCCAAGUGCAACCAAGCUUCUGUAACAGAUUUCUGGCGCAAGCUGUUUCAAGACCUAGGCAAUUAAACAUAAUCUUCAUUAAUAGAUGAAAUAGGAUCUGUUAAAAUAUAGUUAUGGAAGGAAAUUAUAAUCGAAUCAACACCAUGGGAAGAGAAAAUAAAGAACACAAACUUGAAAACUCAAUAAAUUCCCUAAAACAGAAAUCGACUCAAAACAGCAGCGCACAUUCUACAGUUUGAAAUUUUGAACUCCAGUAUGAGAUACUUUUCUAAGCAAGCAGCAACACUAGGCCUGGAGUACUAAAUAAAGCUCAGGUAUACAAAAACUAACAGCUACUCCCUCUGGUCCAGGCAUCUUCUAACAUGGCAUGUCUCCUAAAUUACACUUUGACCAUUCGUUUAUUUUAUAUUAUACUGCUUAUUAUGAUUAUAAGCAUAUGAUUAUUGGAUGGUACGUUUGAUUACAAAUCUAAUCUAAUAGUAUCAAGUUUGUACUACAAUAGUUAAAAAGUUGUUAGCCAAAUUAUUGGUCAAAGAUUAGAAAGUUAGACUCUUGACCUACGCAAAAUGCCUUAUAAACUGGACUGGGGGAAUAUAAAAUAAAAUAGGGUGCCAAGAUCAUUGAUGUCUUAUCAUUUCGUUAGAGCAUGAACAAUGGGGGUACUAGAGGAGACGCUUGCAAGAGUGGGGGUUUACCCUAUGUCAUUUCACCCAGGUGCUUAUAAACGGACAAAUGUUUAAGUUUGCUCAUGGUGCUUAAGUGUACUACUUCUGCCCUGAAAUACAAGGGCAAGAUUUGUCCCAGGUCAAACUAUUUUAGGCUUGACAAAGUGUAUAGAAAACAGUAUUAACAUCUACCACAUCAAAGAGGUAAGUUAUGAAAAUAUAUUUCAUAAUGUGAUGACCAUUGAUAUCGUAAAUAUUGUUAUUUUUUUCUAUGAAGAUGGUCAAAACUAGGAUAGCUCGAUUUAGGAUCCAGCUCCCCAAAAAAUAACAUUCGACUUGCAUGACAUCUAAAACUUUUAUUCUUCAAGGCAAUAGCAAUUUAGGGUAACAUAUUAAGAGGUGCAAUGCUAGGUUUUCAAAAACCUUCAAUGGGAAUGAGUGGACUUAGCACUCUUUGGCAGGAGGGAUGGGAUGUAGCAAACUCAAAAUCUCUUGUAGUUCAACACGAAGGGAAUACUAACAAGGUACUUAAGUUUAUUUAAACACCCAUUUGCAUUGGAGGAAUUAACAUUAACUUUUAUUCGGUGCUCAUUGAUGUAGUGAUAUUCUAUCCCGUUAAGCACUCAUGUUUAAUCAUCUUGCAUGGUACAUGCCCUAGAUGCUUUCACAACAUAAUUUUAAACAUAGAGAGUGAAAUGUAUAACUAAAAGGGCAAAACAAAAAAGAAAGUUAAAUACAAAGGUAUGCAUUAAAUGAUAGCUGAAGUAAAACCAGAAAACUUCAUUAAAACUUUGAAGAAGAAAAAAAACCUGUGCUGCCCAUUUAGGCAGGGUUAUCCAGACUUCAAAAGUAGAAGCUCCACAAGCCACACACAUGGAAGGCAAAGGUUCAUAUGAUGGCUUGUUAUCCUCAGUAUUCGAUAGAGCACGAACUAACUGCCUCUUCUCAAUAAUUUCAUUCUUGAUACGGCUCUCUAGAAGCUGCAUAUGUUGUGAAGCAACAUGAGUUUUUUUUUACAUCAAAAUAUGGGCUAGGAGAUGCUCCAUCGUUGUAGAAAUUGAUACCUUAUCAUCAAAACAAGUUUGGGCACUGGCAGAAACAAGAAAUGACACGUGUGCAGAACUGCAAGUUGAGAUAUCGCAGCGCAUUGUAACAACUCCAUGUGGAAGAUUUUCAGCUUGAAGAGGUGGAGGAGCACUAGAAAGAGAAACAAUGUGGAGCUUCAACUCUGAACAAAAUGAACAUUUCUAACAAAAAGAGUAUUUUAUAGUUUGGUAGUAUAUACCAAAUAAUCAAAAAAAAUUAAAAAAAAAAACUCUACCAGUAUCAUUUUAAAAGAAUUUAACUUCAUUUUCCAUUUGGUUCACAAAUCAUAGGCAAUACAAAUCAAGAUACAUUGGUUCCUUUUAUAUGCCUUCAGGUUUGUGCUUAAAAACAUGAUGAGAGCCAAGAAUACAAUGCAAACAAACAUUCGGGGAUAACAAAAUAUUAAUAUAAAUACUAAAGCAAAAGGCCAAGACUACAUUAUAAACAUGAUCCAUUCUCAAGUUAUAAAAUGUUUGAUGCAUGCAUCAUAAUUUAUGAGAUAUGUGGCUUAAUAUGUAAUGAGAUACCUGGAUCGGCUCUGAAGUUUACUCGCACGAAUCUGAGGAAAGUAAAAAAAAAUCAAUCAUCAAGCAGGUCCUAGCAAAUAUGAUGAAACACAAAAUAGAAUACUAGAACUUUAUAAAAAUUAAAGGAUAUUUAUUGAACAAAUCUGACACUGAAGACACCACUAUCUAAUACAUCAAAACAAUGCUUUUGUUGCUUAUAGCAAACCAAAAGCAAGAGUCAGACUCAAACACUAGUACUAACUUAUGCAUCCGUUUGCUAUACAUCAUAUUUUACUGGGAUUCACAAUAAAAGUGCAAGCCAAUAGUUGUAACUCGUAAGCAGCUAGUGGGCAGUCACCCCCCACUUGUCAUGUGACUAUGAGAGCAAUCCAUUCCACCAGGGCACCGUGGCUGCAUAGGAUCAACCGGCACAUUUCCUUUCUUGUUUUAGUUACUAUUUUUAAGUUUCUUACUUUGGGAGACGAGGUACCUCUAAUCUAUAUGAAACAAAAGCAGGUAAUGUGCCCUGAAAUGACUUUUAGUAAUAAUUUCAAUAUAUGAAUAUUCUGAUUUACAAUGAUGUGAUAACUAUAUGCUGCAUACAAAUCAGCAUGCCUAGUUCUAACAUAGCUACCAUUCGUUCCCAUAGCUCCUACGGUAAUACUAAAAGUUUGCGAUAUCAUGUAAAGAUUAACCAUCUAUCCAUAAUCUCAAUACUUCUAGAAUGUGCUCCUGAUUACUACAACGAUGACCACAAACCUCAAUAUUCAACAGCGCAGUCAAACCAUCUUCUAGUGCGCCCAACAAACAUGCAUCCUGAAAUUGAUACAGUUUGCAAUCAUUGAUUGGAAACAAGGUAAACAUCUAGUGAUGAGAGAAAAACGAGGUAUAACCCUAAGCUUACCAGGGUGCAUGGUGCUCCACAGACAAGAAAUUUCAUGUUCACAUCUUCAUCAUAGAUUCUUAUAGGUGGAAAACCUUCAGAGCAGCCUUCUUCCUUGUUCACUUCAUUCCCAGCAGGGAUGACAUUUAUUUUUGGGGCAUCCCCUAGUAGGCAGGGGCCAAGCUUAACACUUUGCACAUAAUUAUUUCUUACACAGUAUAGUCGAAAGGAGGCAUGUGCAAGUUGAAAUGCAUCCCAUGUAUGGCUGCAGGAACUAUAACCAGGAAUGAAACUGUUAGGUGUGAAACAAAAUAAAAUGGCACUGAUCAAUAAUACUUUAUGAUGCAAUACCUCUCAAUGACUGACAUUAACGCAUGACGAAAAUGAGAUGCUGUAUAAGACGAAAAUGAAUUCCUCCAAUAUACCACAUAUGGUAUCCCCUGAGUGAAAGAAUGCCGACAUCACAUAUUCCACAAUUAGCACCAAAAAGUCCAAAAAAAUAAUAGCCACUUUGUUUUAGGGAAAAAUAGCUUAUUAACACUAUAAAUUAUCUGAAGCAUAAAUGGUGAUAUCUAAAUACUACCAAAAAAUUAUAAACAUUCAAACAAUCAGUACCACCUAUAUUUAUUGAAAUGAGAUACUCUCUCCGUGCCAAAUUGUAGCACCUUUUGGCUUUUCUAGAUACAUUACUUUUACUAUGUAUCUAGACAUAGUGUAUAUCUAAGUGCUAACAAAAACUAUGUAUCUAAAAAGCCAAACUGUCUUACAAUUUGAAAUGGAGGGAGUAACAUACUAUAAACAUAAGGGACAUGACUUCUGCAAAAUCUAGAAACAAAAUAAGCGAAAAGGAGGGAAGAGUGUGCACUAACUCCAGAGUAACUCUUGCAAAUGUACAACAACCAAUUCCUUAAAAAGAGAUAGACACAAUUAUUGAAAAAAGUACCUUUGAAUGAAGUGACUGCGCAAGCUUUUCGCCAAUGGGAACCUCCAAAUAAACCUGCAUUAACAUUUAACAUGUUAAUAACUAUAUUGCAAAAAAAGGAACAAAACCACACUAUAGUAUUAAAUUAUAAAUUAGAUUAAAUGCUCCCGCCAACCAGCUUUGUUAGUUGUAUAAGCAAAGAAAUCCAAUAUUCAUCAGCAUAUAUGGACAUGGGCACCGCUUUGGUGCUUUUUCUCUGUUUGAACAUGGGCAUCAGUUUCGUACUGCAUGCAGGAAUUGCUCCCAAAGUUAAUACACUGUCAUUGUUCUCUUGUUUAUUUAAAGCAUGUGUGCAACAUGUGCUAACGGCAGGCAGACACUAACAGAAACACAGCAUCCUCGCCAUUCUCUCACUUAUUUAGAUAAGACGCUUUUACUCCGCCAGAUUAAUGCAUUGCGGGGAGGACACUUCUCUAUUUGGUCUCUGUGUGCAGAGAGUUUAUACGUCGAUCAUAUUUAGAUGGAGGGAGCAACAGACAUAUACAUGAUCUCGAUUAUAUUUUGGAUGGAGCUUGCAAUAGCAAGACACAUACAGGAUUAUAGAAGAUACUUAACAAUAAGAUAGAUGCUACACGAAGCAUCCAAUCAACAUGCAACAAGAUCACAUACCCAUUAAUUUAGCCACAUCAAUUAAGUCAAUAAUGCAAAGUAAAACUCAGCAGUUUAGGUCACAAUACCAAACAAGAGCAUUAUCAGAAGUUCAGAACAGACCAGUAAAUGUAACUUUUAAAAAACCACAGUUAUAGCCAGAGCUAAGGUAAUAAUUCCCUGGAAGUCACAAGAUCAUGUUCCUCCCUCUCUCUUCAGAUGAACUCCUAGUUCUUGACUGGUGCAACACAGUUAUAGUGUAGUACUGAUUGUCAUGCUGGGCUCCCUUUUUCAAGGCUCAAAUAUGAAAUUGUAAAUUGAUGUGCACUUUUGCACCUCAUGUCCACCAGUCAAGUAAGAACAGAUGAUAACACUAAAUUAUAGCAACAAAUACAUGCUAUUUAUCUAUUCAAGAAAAGCUUGGAGCUUACCAUGGUCGGAAAUGGUGGGGUGAUGAGUGAAACAAACAUCUGCGGGUCAGAUAAAUCGGUAUCGCCCCAGACAAGUGUCCCAAUCUCCUUCUCAUUCUCUUGCUGCUGCCCUUGAAGAUACAAGAAGACAGGAUGCACCGCCUGCUGUGCCUCUCUAAAUUGCUCCAAAGUGGGAUUGAUUAGUGUGUGCACCUGCAUCCCCAAAGUCCAGUUUUAGUUUGAACUUAUAACUCAAAUCAAAAAAAAAACAUCUGCCUCUACCACACCACACAGCAAUAAGAACUGACCUCCAAUCUCCCAGACGAAGCGAGCUCCGGGAAGGGGUAUGACAUCCGCACUCGCUUUGUGUCUGGUGCCAGGGGAGCUGGCGUCUGCCGCUUCUCGGCAAUCUCCCCACAAAGAACAGCUAGGAGUGUGCAGUUUCGCCCGGUGUUCUGGACUUGAGGCAUGGCUGCAGAGACAAACUAACUGCCGGGCCUCAACUCAAGUCAACACUGAACCUGCAACAGGAAAAUUGGAAAACGGGUAAACAAACACCGCAAAAUCAAAGGAAAACCCACCACCAAAACGAAUCAAUCCACACACCAGAUGAGCAAAUCGAAGCCCAGGGCGGCGUAAGGACGCCGCCGAUGGCGUAACCGGAAGCAGGUAGCUUCGAUUUAUGGGGUAGGAAGAGCAAAGCGUGGGGAGGACGGAACCCUAAUCUAGCCGCGGCAACAAUAACACGAUUUCCCAACCAGAAUAGAAGGCAAGUGCGGUGGCGGAUCUGUGAAUCGAGCACGACACGAGCCUCCCGUCCCAAUCCAAUCCAAUCAAAUAAACAUUUCACCGAUUGUCGAAAAAAAUUAUAACAAAUCAGUAAAACGGCACCAGAUCCUCCCAGUUCCCAGUUUCGAUCCUCGCAUCUCGCAGGGGUUUAACACCAAGCAGGUAGGGAUCCAAAGGAAGACGAAUCCAAUCCGAUCAAAUAAACAUUUCAAGGAUUGUCGAAAAAAAUUAUAAAUCAGUAAAACGGCACCAGAUCCUCCCAGUUCCCAGUUUCGAUCCUCGCAUCUCGCAGGGGUUUAACACCGAGCAGGUAGGGAUCCAAAGGAAGACGAACCUGGGGAGAACGUGUGCUGACUGAUGAGGGGGGCAGAGCAGAGGGCGAGAUGAAACGCUCGGAUUUGGGAUAUCGCCUCGCCUUGUAGGCCUUGUAUAGGUGGUGCGCGUAGGUGCGGAAUCUUCUGGCCGAUCCGCUUACUCCCCCGUUCCUGUGUGCGGGCUCGGCAACGAGGAUUUCAUGACGAUUCAUUAUUCCUGUGGAUUGAAGAGGGAUAGAAAAAAACAAGGGGCGCGGAUUAAUUACCUUCUGGAUUUGGAAUCGGGAAUGCGAGGAAGAGAAUGAAAAGGAUUUUGUUUCGAUCUACGAAGAGAUGGAUGAUACCUGCUGCGGCUGAGGCUGCGGAUGCCGCUGCACGAGGCCACGAUCCGACGCCGCUCUGGUGUCGUUGGCGCGGUGGAUUUUCCACGCGCUUCGCCCAAUCGAAAGUCGAAACUGCCUGUUUGCUUGCUCGUUGCUUUGGCACCGCAUUCGCGGCCUGGGAUGGGACUCAUGCGAGCGAGCGAGCGUCAGAGCGUGCCGUGGCAGCGUCGCGCUGUGGUUUCUGGGUGCUGUUCGCGAGAUAUGUGCGCCCAGCAGCUCCUCGCUCUGGCGUGUUCUUCAUCCUCUCGGGCUUUUUUUUUUCCCUUUUUUUAUGAGAGAAGUGACAUCAUAAAUAAUCCAAUUUCUCGAUUACAGAAAUAUAGGACAAAAUAUACCCACUGUUCGUUUUAGUCCAAAACAAGGAAUUGAGAAGGGUUUCCUAGUGAAAGUCCUCCUCAAUCAACUCCGACACUUCUCCUAUCUUAUGGUUCGGGACUUGUUUAGUUUAAAAGUUUUCGAGACUGUAGUACUUUUAUUUUUAUUUAAAAAAUAUUGUUCAAUUAUAGAGUAGUUAGGCUUAAAAGAUUCAUCUCGUGAUUUAUAGGUAAACUGUGCAAUUAGUUUUUAUUUUCAUCUAUAUUUAGUGCUCCAUGCAUGUGUCGCAAGAUCCAAUGUGACGGGGAAUCUUGAAAAGUUUUUGGUUUUUAGGAUGUAUGGUAGCAUAAUUUUUAUUCGGAGUCUUUAAGCAUUCAAACUUAUAAAUUGGUGUUGCAAACUGAUGAACAUGCCUCGCUAUCCUAUGAGUUAUUCUAUUGACCUAUCAUGGAAUCUUACAAAACUCAAAAUCUUAUUUCUCAAGAGUAUCCCUAAGUAAUUGACAAUCCGAAAACAUGAAAUCACACCAAACAAGUUUCAUACAUUUUUGUGUAGUAAUAUAUGGUCAUGGGUCAUUAGUUAUAAUGUUAUGUCAUCAUUUCAUGUUGUUGUGGCGAAGUAAUAAGGAAGGAAUGUAAGAGAUUGGUUUUAUAUAAGUGAAGCUAGGUAUAUGAUGUCUCUAGGAUUAUGAAACAUAUUGAAACAGACAUUGGUUUCAUUCCAUCCUACUUUUCGCCAAAUUCUAUGUGUCAAACUUAAAUGUUGUACUAAAAACAACCAGAUAAAACAAUGCAUGGGAAGGAGUUGUUUUAUUCAUCAACUCGAAAGCACUCUAGAUGGCAAGGCAUUCUUAGAAACAAUAAAAUAAAACAUUCGGUUUGUUUCUCAAGAAACAUAUGGGCAAUAAAUUACUCUGGAAUUAACAAGAGUAUUACCCCACCUAACUCUGAUGAUAAUCAAUUAAAUACUCUUUUGCACAUGUAGAGUAUUGUCUAGAAACACUAAUAUGAAACUCUCUCCUAUGAUUGGCCUUAGAGCAACUUCAACCGUUUGGCAAAAUUCGUUUCCCAAAUUUUAUUGUUUGUCAACUUCAAAAAUAAUAUGGGGAGGAAAAAAUAUCUCAUAUCCAACGGUUUGGCAAAUUUUAUUUCCAAAAACUCAAAAAUCUGCUAACAAAAUGAAAAGCCUUGCUAAGCGAACGAAGAGCUCCGCUAAGCAUGAGGAGAAAGACUGAUGCCAAGCAUAGAGCCCGCGCGCAUAUUUGUGCGCUAGAUAGAGAGAUAUGACAAGUUAGAAAAGAUGGAGAAUUGAGAUGUUAAACUGUUGGAGAGAGUCUUUCCUCAUUUUGUUAAAAAAAUUAUGGAUAGGAAGUCAUUUGUCAAACUGUUGGAGAUGCUCUUAGUGUUUGAUUUAACGUUUCUUAGGAGUCCUUAUUCUUCUUUUUCUUGCCAACUAGACAUCUUUACUAUAUGCACUAUGUCUACAAUUUGAAGACACUAGAUGAUUCCCCAUGUGUUAUUGUGAAAAUUAGAGACAUAGAUUUUUUUUAUAAGAAUGAGAUGAAUAAAGCAAUCAUUAAAGUGGUUGGGUAUCUAAUUAGGAGACUAGAAUAUCCAAAAAAAUAUUAGAGGUUGAGUUACAAGUUGCUUGAAUCGAGAGAAAAUUAAGGUGUAUAUUUUGAUAAUACGACAUGAGAUAUACCAAAUGCAAGUACUUAUUAGUCUAGCAUGGGCUCGUUUGGCUCCCGCCACAUGCCAUCUUUAUGCAUGUCUGGUUGUGCCAUAGAUGUAGCGAACAAAAUGGGCGCCAGACAUUUGGUGAGAGUUGAGGUGAGUUUACAUGGUAGCAACCAAACGCACAUUCAACAUGCCACAAUUUAAUUGUGGUGUGGUAUGAGCCAAACACACAAACAAAUAUGGUUAUAUAGUAGUAAUUUUAUUAUAUGAGUUAUUUAUUAUUAAAGCUUUAUUUGCAAAUAAACAAGUUGAUUUUAAUUAAUUUGGUGAAGAGGUGAAGAGGGUAGUGUCAACCUUCCACAUCUUGAAACCCUUUGAGAGGAGAAAAUAUCUCAACCUCUCAUAUCAUGCUUAGCACUUACCGCAGUGUUUUGCAAAACCAUUUUCACUUGCUACUCACUAUGUCACUAAGCAUAAUGCGUAUGCAAAUGAAACUCACACUUAGUGGAACCAAAUAAAUGUUGCAACUAAAGAUUUUCUCUUUUUAUAUAGUACGACUAUCUAUCUUAAAUCCAACUUGUUUGGCCAAAUAUAUCAACUCUCAUCUUUCAUUAGACUUUAUAGGCCUUUCAACCAAACAUAUCAACUCCCAACUUUUCUGGCCUUACGAAUUUUAUCAAAUUUCUAGCCAACUUCAAGGCAACACUUUUUGCCAAGCAAGUUAUGAGGGCUCCAACCAUGGCUUAAUUCGACAGUUGACAUCGGUUCUUGAUAACGAACCUGAGCUCCAUGAUGGUGAGACACUCACCCUCCAUGACCACUGUGGCGCUCUUGUUGACACAUGGGUUUCUUGCAGGGGCAUCAGGUCUCUAACGCAUAGGAAAAAGGCACCAUGCAAGCUAAAAUUAUGGACCACAAGCGACUCAUUGGUCACCUUUUAGAACAUGUUCAGCAAUACUUGAGCUUUAAAACCAAAAUUGAGGGUCAUAGCUCCAAUAGACCCUACUAGAGAUCUAAAAAAUAAGAGGCUCAAAUCUCUCCUCAACCCUCAUCCAUGGAGGCUCUAGAGGAGCACAUACUCACUCGAACCUUUCUAUGUUGGUCACUCAUGCCCCUUCGGAUCUACCCUCGUGUCACUUCUUGACAUCACUCCUUGGUCUGACGAUCCUUCUCAGCGGCACCCCUGCACGGCCUCCUCCCUAGCGCCCUCCCUGGCUCGGCAACUCCUCCCUGGCUCAACCUCACACGAUGGCACAAUCGCACCCACCCAUCGCCACCACCAGAUCCGACCUCCUUCGUCCUAGGCACGCCCCGCCCAUGGUACUAAAUAGUGGUUGUAACAACCAUAAUAGUCAUAGCGGCCUCAAAGCACUACCGCUAUGAUGUAGUAGUCUAGGUUUUGCAAGUUGGAACUUAGCGACUGCUAUUUGAGUUAGCGAUCUGCUAUAGCAGUUCACAAUUCUUUGUAGUGGUCGCAAUGGCAUGGAGUGGUACACAAAAAAUAAAUAAUUCUAGUGCACUUAAGAUACACAUAUGGUUUAAGUGACCAUAUAAGUAUGUGAGACAUCAAUUCUUUAGGUACAAUUAAUUGACUAUUUAUAACCAUUAUUCACGAUAUAUAUGCUUAAAUUUACAUUUGCCGCUAUUGGAACUUAGUGUCUGCAAUAGCGCCCGCUAUCCGCUAUCUUGAUAUCAAUCUGCUACCAACCCGCUAUGCUAUUUGUCUCACUAAAGAUCAGAUGUAAGAAAGAACAAAGCAUGUUGAUGUGAGAUGUCAUUUUAUUUGAGGUGUCAUUGUUGAAGGUGAUGUUAAGGUAUGCAAGGUAAAUGCCCACGAUAAUCCCGUUGAUAUGUUGACAAAGCCUGUUCUUGAAGCUAAUAAGUUUGAGCUAUGCUCAGGCUUAGUUGGUAUUAUAUUAUAACUUAAGUCCUAGUGACUUUUAGUGUAGAUGAUUUUUUUUAUUAUUGAAGUAAGUUAAUUGAUGAUACUUUAUUUUGCUACAAGAUAUAAAUUUUCUCAAGGUGAAUUUUAUUGGAGCAUGAUCCAAAUUCUAAUGCGAGUUUUGCAUGGACGUAUGAAGGGCCCAUAGCUUGGGGUAUGUUAAUUAGAAUAUUUGUUUUUGUAUUGAACUUUUGUUCGUCUGUCCUAUAUCUAUAUCUUUGUAAGCUACGUGGGAAGAGUUGACUCAUUUGUAUCCCCUAUGUACUGUACUCUCAUCGUAUAGUGGAGAUUACUGUUUUAGCGCAUGUGGUUUUUUUACAAGGAUUUUUCAUGUAAAUUUUUGUGUCCUGUGCUCGAUCUUUAUUUACAUUAUUUGCUAACAACAUGCUUACUUAGUCCUUUGCAUCUACAACAGAGAAGAUGAUUGGUAAAAAAUAUACUUUGUAGUUCUAACACUUUGAGUCUGUCCUACUAAAUUAUUUGAUGUAUUUGAAAUGAGAUCGAUGUUAGUGUAUCUAACUCUAUUUCUAUGUAUCGUUGUUUUUUAUGAAUCUUAAACAUAUUAGUAUUCUUUUCGUAUAGUAUUUAGAAGUCGUUUUUAUAAGGUUUUGGUCAAACAUUGAGAAUAUAAAUUAUCAAUAACUUUUAAAUUGUUGAGUUUGCAAAUGUGAAAAUUAUAUGAAUAGAUUUGUUUUAAAUAGUUUCAUUAAAGUAUAUAUAUCAUUUUUUAUAAAUACUUAUAAAAAUAAGAGGUUAAAGUUGUGUUUUGAAGAUCAUAUCACUAUCCUAUUCUAAACGACUUCUAAAUCCUAUACGGAGGGAGUAUCUAUUCUUUUCUAUAUAUAUAUAUAUAUAUAUAUAUAUAUAUAUAUAUAUUAUCUUUUUGACGUUUAUUGAUUUGUACUACCGAAAUGUCACCAUGGCGUUAACAUGUAUAACAUACUCCCAUUAUACUAUAAGUCAUUCUAAGAAUCUUUGAGGGUCAAAGCAUCUCAAGUUUGAUCAAAUUUAUGUAAUAAUAUAAUAACAUUUAUGAUUCUAACUAAGUAUUCUUAGUUUCUUUAUUAAGUAUAUUUUCAUAGUAUAUCUACUUGAUGUCAUAAAUCUUUUUAUUUUUUUCCAUAAUUUUAGUCAAACUUGAAAUGCUUGUACUCUCAAAGAUUCUUGAAAUGACUUAUAGUUUAGCAUGCAGGGAGUACCAAUAAAAUCUAUAUCUCUUAUAUAGAUAAACCUCACUAGCUAAUUCUUUUGACAUGCAAAGCAUCCACAUCAUCAUCCACUAGAGCAUCCCACUAACUAAUUCUCUUGCCAUGCAAAGCGUCCACAUCAACAUCCACUAAAUCAUCCCACUAAUACAUUACCCCGCCAUGCAAAGUGUUCACAUCAUUAUCCACUAAUAAAUCGAACUAACACAUAUCAUUUUAUCAUGUAUCUAUGUUAUUCACGUUAGCAAACUACAUUAUUUUGUAACAUAUAUUUAGUUUUCUAUGCUAGAAUACUAAAAAUCAUCCACUAACAUAUAUUAUGAUAGUAUAUAACUUUACCAGUAAUUCCUGCAGCAACGCGCGGGGCAUUCUCCUAGUUACAAUAAUGAGAGUUUUGUGUGAAAGGCUGCCCUGUAAAUUUAGAGAUUCAUUUCCAAUUUUUGUUGGAGCUAGAUUUUAAUCUAUAUAACUGUUUAUCUGGGUUUACGGAAGGUUUUAGAUAAGAAAAAAGUCUACAUAACCUCCUAAACUAUUUUUUGUGGUGGAAUACUUCAUCCCUAAACUAUAAAACCAGAUAUCCUACCUCCUAAACUUUCAAAACCGGUAAAAUAACACCCUAGAGUGGUUUUAGAGGGUGGUUUUGUCUUUUUAUUUUUUAUUUAUUUCAGCUUAAUAAUGUAAAAAUCAUAAUAAAUCAUAGAAAAAUUAUAAAAUGAAAAUUCAAAUUUGUUGGACUCCUGAUGAGUAGAUCUACACAAUGAAUAUAUAAUAUGGUAUACUUUAUUACAAAGUUUUUGUUGUAACUUUAAAUCUAUGUUUUUCUAUAAUUAAUAAGAAUAAUUUAUAUAUGUAGUUCCUAUGGUUCAAUUGUGAUAAAAUUCUUAUGCUGGGCUCAUUAUUGUAUUCUUGAACUAUGGUAAAAGUUCCGUACCUAUUGCAUCACAUAUAACUUAGUUAUAGAUUUAUUUAGCUUUAUUCUUAUUAAAUCUAUGAUUUAUCUAUAACUAAGUUAUACAUGAUUCAAUGAGUAUGGAAUUUUUACCAUAGUGCAAUCAUACAAUAAUAAGCCCACCAUAAAAAUUUUACCACAAUUAGACCAUAGGAACUACAUAUAUGAAUUAUUUGAAUUAAUUAUAGAAAACAUAUAUUUAAAGAUACAGCAAAAACUUUGUACCAAAGUAUACCAUAUUAUAUAUUCACUGUGUAGACCUACUCAUCAGAAGUCCAAUAAAAUUGAGUUUUUAUUUUAUAAUUUUUCUAUAAUUUAUUAUAAUUUUUUAAAUAUUCAGCGAAAAUAAAUAAAUAAAAAAGAUAAAACCACCCUUAAAAUCACUCGAGAGGGUUAUUUGACCGGUUUUGAAAGUUUAGGGGAUAAAAUAUAAUAUCCGAUUUUAUAGUUUGGGGAUGAAGUAUUUCAUCCUAUAUAAUUUGGGGUUAUGUAUCUUUUUUUCCUCGUAGAUAUGUUUACUUCCAGUUAAAACCCAAAAUUUUUCAAGAUUUCCCAUCACAUCCGGUCUUUAGAGGCAUGCAUGAAGUAUUAAAUAUAGACAAAAAUAAAAACUAAUUCAUAGUUUGAUCGGAAUUUAUGAUACAAAUCUUUUGAACCUAGUUAGUCCAUAGUUGGACAAUAAUUACCAUAAACAAACGAAAAUGCUACGAUGUUGUGAAUUUUUUUUUUGUUUGUGAACUAAACACGGAGAAAUCCGGAAUGCGAGCCUCAAAACCAGCAUCAGCUUUCCAAAUUCCCACUCCGGAUACCAAACGACGUUUUGGUUUGCAAAUUAUAUAGGCUCCAGUACCGCAGUAUGUGCACCUAUAAAUCGGCCAGUGCUCAGUCUAGCGAACGGCCGGAUCGGAACCCCUUCGCUUUCUCCCCUGCUUCUCUCAAACGAAAUGGCAGCCGGAUCUUCCAGUUCCAGCACCGCCCUCGUCGGCAUCGUUGACGACUUCUACUUCUCCGUCCUCGCUCACGGGCGAAACGACGCUGGCGCCGCCGGGGACGACGAGCUCUUCCCGAUAUCCGACGAGAAGUACGCCACGGAGCUCCAGCUACAGGAGGUGAUGAUGUCCUCCGCCAUCGCGGCCACGGCGCGCUCCCGGGUCGCUCCACCUCGCAGCAGCACAGCUGCCACUAGCGACAACGCCGCCGCCGCCGCCGCGUCGGGUCACGGCAAAGGUAAGUGCGCCUACACCUCGUCGUCGUCGUCGUCGUCCCGGCCGUCCAUCGCCGUCGCCGCGACGCUCGUGUUCUGCAAGAUCUGCAUGGACGUGGUGCCGCCCUCCGACGCGCACCGCGCCAGCCGGGGCUGCGCACACGCCUUCUGCGGCGGCUGCCUCGCGGGCUACGUGGGCGCCAAGAUCCAGGACAGGAUCGCCGACGUCAGGUGCCCCGAGGAGCGGUGCGGCGGCGUGCUGGACCCGGAGCUCUGCCAGGGCAUCCUGCCCCGCGAGGUCUUCGAGCGGUGGGGCGCCGCGCUGUGCGAGUCCAUGCUGCUGGGGGCCAAGAGGACCUACUGCCCCUUCAAGGAUUGCUCGGCGAUGAUGCUGGCGGACGACGACGGCAGCGACGACGUCGCCGAGGCGGAGUGCCCGAGCUGCAGGCGGCUCUUCUGUGCGAGGUGCAACGUGGCGCCGUGGCACGCCGGCGCUACCUGCACCGAGUACAGGAAGCUCCGGAAGGGGGACAGGGGCAUCGAGGACACCAUGCUGCUUGAGAUGGCCAAGGGGGAGAAGUGGAAGCGGUGCCCCAAGUGCGAGUUCUUCGUGGAGAAGCGUGAUGGUUGCCUUCACAUUACUUGCAGGUACUCCGUACGUUCCAUCUCAUCAUUCAUCAAUAUGGGAGCAGUACCACUGUUUCUUCACGGAUUCACAUGUGCACUGCAGUCAAACUGACUCUGAAGUGCACGUAGUAUUGCUUUUUCCCUUUUUUUUAUUCAGGACUUGUUAAAUAAGGUCACGUUAAAUUCAUCCAAAAACAAAAAACUUUUCAAUAUUUUUUUCGUCACAUUAAAUCUUCUGCCACAUACAUAAAACAUUAAAUAUAGAUAAAAAUAAAAACUAAUUAUACAAUUUGUUUGUAAACCGUAAGACGAAUUUUUUAAACAUAAUUACUUUAUAAUUGGAUAAUGUUUGUCAAAUAAAAACGAAAGUACUAUCAAAAUUAAAAAAGAAAAUUAGACCUAAACAAGGCCUAAAACGAAGAACGGUUUGUUAAAGUAUGGUAGAUUUUUAUUUAAUUUAAUAAUUAGUGUCUAAUUAUAAACUAAUUAAGUUUAAAAAAUUAAAAUUCAUCUCACAAAUUACUCUCUAGCUAUGUUUUUAAUUUUAUAAAUGUCUAUAUUUAGUAUUAUAUAUAUAUUCCUUCCGUCUUAAAAUGACCAAUGUUUUUUACUUUGACCAAUAAUGUUUGUUCGUUUUGUUCAAUUUUUUAUGUAAAUUUUAAAAUAAAUAAAUCAUUAUUAAAGUAAUUCUAAUAAUUAAAUAAGUCAUAUCAAAAUAAAUAAUAUUUAUAUAAAAGGUUAUAAUAAAAUUGGAUAGUCAAAUAAAACGUCAACAACGUUAUUUUAGGCUUUGUUUAGAUGCGAAAAGUUUUUAGAUUUCGUUAAUGUAGCACUUUCGUUUGUUUAUGAUAAAUAUUGUCUAAUCAUAAACUAAUUAGGAUAAAAGAGUUUAUCUCGUGAUUUACAGGUAAACUGUGAUUUACAGGUAAACUGUGUACUGUAAGAUUUAAUGUGACGAGAAACCUUGAAAACUUUUUAGUUUUUAGAUGAACUAAACAAGCCUUAGACGAAGAGAAGUACUAUGUCCAAACACGAUGCGACGGAUAGUAAUCUUUACCGUCAGUAACAAUACUGUAGAACCUAGUCAUCAAUAUGGGAGCAGUAGCACUGUUUUUUUCACGGAUUCAAAUGUGCACUCCAGUCGAACGGAUUCGUUUUUUUUUACGAAGUGCACUACAACUGCAGUGCAAGAACUAUUAAGGCCUUGUUUAGUUCCCAGAAAAUUCAAAAUUUUUUCAGAUUCUCCGUCACAUUGAAUCUUUAGACGCUUGUAUGGAGUAUUAAAUAUAGCCGAAAAUAAAAACUAAUUACACAGUUUGGUCGAAAUUGACGAGACGAAUCUUUUGACCGUAGUUAGUCUAUGAUUGGACAAUAUUUGUCAAAUACAAACGAAAACGUCAUUAUUCAUAUUUUGCAAAAAAAAUUGGAAGUAAACAAGGCCUAAAGGCCUUUUUAAAGAAGAAGGCCUUGCUUUGUUCCAUUUUUUUUUUUGCAAAAUGAAUCUAUAAUACUUUCGUGUAUUUAACAAAUAUUGUAUAAUUAUAGUCGAAUUAGACUCAAAAAAUUCGUCUCUCAAAUUACAGGCAAACUGUACAAUUAAUUAUUAUUUUUAUCUAUAUUUAAUGCUCCAUGCAUUCAUCACAAGAUUUAAUAUGACAAAAAAUCUGAUUUUUUUUGCAAAACUUUCUGGGAACAAAACAAUGCCCAAGAUGAAGAAGAUGAGAAUUAAGGUCUUAUUGUGCAUGAUUUUAUGGUAGCUUCUCCAGCAGUUAAAUCAAAAAUUCAACUUGAAAACGACUUUAGAAACCAAAAUCAAGACAAAAAUGCAUAGGCCGAAGUCAAUUUUGGCAAGAAGCUGAAACCAUAAAAAUGUAGUUUCUCCGUACUUUAUGAUUUUUGGACAAGCCCAAAUUAAUCCUACUAGAGAGACUCUGGGUGGUCUCGUUAAUAAAAAACAAUAUACACUUAAAUUCAAAUACUUUAAAACUCAACUUCCGUCAGUCGUCGGAUUGAGCUAUAUAUAUGAUCGUUUCUUGUCGAGAUUUUUUUGGAGCAUUGUAAUUUCCUCGUAUCAUUUCCUUCGCUUGAAAAUAUUUUUUUGUACAAAAAAUUGAUGGUAUCGCGAUUUUGCAGGUGUGGCUUUCAGUUUUGCUAUGGAUGUGGCAAGAGGUGGGGGAUUACUCAUUCUCGUUGCACUACAGCGUGAGAUCCGAUGGAUGCUAUCUCGGAUCUAAGUAUAAGGCCAUUGUCAAUAUAGGUUUCUUGUUCUAGUUUUCAAGACUUAUGUAUUGAAAUGUUAAUUAGUUUUAAUCCUAUAAAACUCAUUUUAUUUUCAUGAAACUUUUGACCAUCUCUCUUUAUUAGUAUUAAUGUCUCUCUUUAUUAAUAUUAUGUCAUGUCAUAUUUACUAAGUUGAUAACUUAUCUAAUGUCUAUAGAACUCGUAAAAUCACCGCGAGACUAGCCUCAAAACAAAAAAAAAAGAAUAGUGUUUUUCAAUUUAUUAACUGAUUGUAACUGGAACUAAAUGCCAUAUCCCAACUAGUGUUAUCAUAUCAGAAAAUACUGCUGACUGAUUUGUUAUGAGAGAAAAAUACUAUUAAAUAGCUGACAUAUUUGACUGAUAAGCUCAAGCGAACAAAAUACUGCUAACUGAUUUGUUAUGAGAGAAAAAUACUAUUAAAUAGCUGACAGAUUUGACUGAUAAGCUCAAGCGAACAAGGCGAUGUAGUGAGAGAAGACUGCAAUUCCGUCAGCCGCUCGGGCUAUCAAUCGGCAACGGAUUUUAGUAAUAGCUUAGGUUUUCUCGUUGAAGUUUUUGGGCAUGGAUACUACACUACUCCCUCCUGAUUUCCCAGAUGGUGUCACUAUUAGACUCGAUUCCUCCAGCGGAUUGGGACUAUAAGGAAUGUUUUAUUCUGCUUGUAUGUGUUUGGGCUACUGUCUUACUUUUAACCCUGUUGGAUUUUGGAUGUUGGGGUUAUUGUUGGGUACGUCAUCGACAUCAAAAUCUUUCUCCUAAGUGGUGUUUUUUUUUACAUUCCAGUCCUAACUUCCUGCGGUUUGGGUUUUUCUUUCUCUGACUAGCUAGGUGCGCCGGAUUUAUGGAAUCGAUCAAUCUCUUCUAUUUAAACCUACGUACUGUUGCAAUUGAUUUUCUCCUCUUUGUAAUAUGGCAGCACUAUGUGGAAACAAAAAAAAAAUGGCCGGACGUACGUGAUGCAAUCGUAGUAUAUUUUAUUUGAUUUAUGACAAUGUUAACCAAGAAAGCAAAUAUUGUAAUUUCAUUUGUCUUUUUUACGUGUGAUCCUUUUUGUAUCAAGAACUAAUUAAGAAGCAAUGAAAUGGUUCACAAAUUCUUUUUCCUACUUGAUCAUGGGCCUUGUUUAGUUCCAAAAUUUUUGGCAAAAUGAGCACUGUAGCAAUUUCGUUUGUAUUUGACAAAUAUUGUUUAAUCAUGGACUAACUAGGCUCAAAAGAUUCGUCUCGUCAAUUUCGACCAAGCUGUGCAAUUAGUUUUUAUUUUUAUCUAUAUUUAAUACUCCAUGCAUACGUCUAAAGAUUCGAUGUGACGGGGAAUCUGAAAAAUUUUGUAAAAUUUUUUGGGAACUAAACAAGUCCAUGGUUAUGUGUGUGUUAGGGAGUAUAUGUUUAGGGCCUGUUUAGAUUUAAAAUUUUUUGGUCCAAAGAGGAAAAAUUUUGUGGAAUUGGGGCCUCGGAACUAAACGGGGCCAAAAAUUUGGGGCCAAAAAUUUAGGCUGCAGGGUCUGAUACUGUGCACGUACUCCCAUAGAAGCCUACCAAUGACAACUGCAACUGCAUGCAGCCCAAGUUGUGUCAGAAAAAACUUUCCCAAACUAAAUACCUAAAAUAUUUCGUGUGCGUCAGACUUCUGAGCUAAAAUUCUGACCACAAAAAGUUUACUACUUUGGCCAAAAAAAUUCAAAUCUAAACAGAGCCUUAUUAGUUGUCCAUGUGAGACAAGUUUAUAACCUUGUUGUGCAUACAGCAACUAGUGGUCUCUUUCCUUGAGCAUUUAGGCCUUGUUUAGUUCCGUCUUGAAAUUUUUUCGUGACACUGUAGCACUUUUCGUUUGAUUGUGGUAAUUAUUGUCCAAUCAUAGACUAACUAGACUCAAAAGAUUCGUCUCGUCAAUUCUGACCAAACUGUGCAAUUAGUUUUUAUUUUCGUCUAUAUUUAGUACUUUAUGCAUGCAUCUAAAAAUUUGAUGUGACGGAAAUCUAAAAAAUUUUGUAAAAUUUUUUAGGACUAAACAAGGUCUAUAUUUGACGGUUUCUCCUCCUUCCUAUUCCUAGGUGUGGCUUCCAGUUUUGCUACGGAUGUGGGAUGUCGUGGAGUUCAUCUCAUUCUAAUAAUUGCCCAGGAUUAUGAGACGGUGUUACGUUACGGAAGCUACAUACUUGAUAAUGGAUCAUGCUAGAAAUAUAUUAGCAAUCAUCUUUUCGUCUUUGUGUCAUCGUCGUGAAGUGACAGGAUCGUCAUAACACUAUAAACAGUAUGUGAAGACGGAUGGUUUCAGUGAACUCGCUUCUGGAGUUUUGGGAGAUGAAAGAUGGCUGGGCCUUGUUGUGUCACAGCUUUGAGAAAUUAAUGAAAAUGAAUGUUAAGCAAACUUGAGCUCUUAUUUAUUUAGUUUUUAGAGCAUCUCGAAGAGUACCCUUUUUUUCUUCCUAAAAACAGUACCUGGCCUUAGUCCUAGUGGAGAUUUCAGUCUAAUAAAAGGAGCUUUCUUGGAAGAAAGAAAAAUAAUCUGAUCGAUCUAUAACAAUGAAAGAACCUAAUUUUUUAGGAAAUACCACCGAAAUAAUAAAUUUUUAGUUAGAACUAGCAUUCUAUUAUGGUUUCUAGCUAACAUUAUGAAUCCACUAUUUAGCUUCCUGGCCAUUAACCUACCCUUGGUGGAUAAGUUCCUUCUCUUCUUCUUGAGGUCCAGCAUAAGCGAAGUCUAAGAUCGGCACGAGCCCUAGCUAGGCAGCAACAGAUCUCGGUGGUGGCAUGAGUCCGAGGUGGGGUUGGAUCCGACUAAGUUAUCAGUGGUGGCGACGCACAAGUGUUGUGACUAGCCUAUGAGAGCAUGUCCACCAGAUCCCCUUUUCCAUAAAGUUUGCUAUAGGGGAUUGAUAAAACAAAGUUCCAGAUUUUUUUAGAUAAAGAAUAAAUAUCCGGCUUUAUCUAUCCAAAGAUAGAAUCAGACCAAAAAUUACAGGAUGUUCAAAGAAAAAAAUCUGCUGUACAAUCUACAGCUGCAAGCACGACUACUGGAAAAGGAAAACAGUUUUUGACUAAGCAAAACCAACAUGUCUGUGCAUAAGCCAACCAUUGCAACUAAAGAAAGCUAAAGCCGACGUCUCCAGGCGAGUUGCUGCUCUUUAAGAUCUUCAUGCCGCUGCAAUAUUGCCCACUGUCGUAGCCAAUGAGUUCCUCGGACCUGCAAAAGAGACUUAGGUUUGCAUUUAUCAAAAACUAUUUCAUUCCUUGUUAGCCAUAUUGUCCACAGUAAGGCUGAUGCUGCUGUUAAUAACAAUGAAUUAACUUUUUUACUACCCAACUUUGACCAAUUUUCAAACAAAUCAUUGAUGCUCAGUGGAGGUGAAAUCCCAAAAAGUAAAUGUAUGGAACGCCACAAAAACUUGGCAUAAUAACAAUCGAAAAAAGGUGUUGAAUUGACUCUAAAAGAUGGCAGAAACCACAAGAUUUAUCUCCAUGCCAAUUUCUCCUAGCUAAGUUAUCCUUUGUUAGAGUAACACCCCGUUUUAAGUACCACAUGAAAAUUUUAAUUUUCAUUGGUAGCUUUGUUUGCCAAAUAUCUUGUGAGACACGUUCCCCAUUGUUAAUUAAAGCAACAUACAUUGACUUGACUGUAAAGAUUCCCGAGGACUUUGAACUCCAAACAAAAACAUCUCUCCCCUGCAUUAGGUUUAAGUGUUGUAGAGAAGCCAAAAUUCGGCGCUAGUUAUCUAAGUUUCUGCCCACUAGAUUCCUCCUGAAGGAGAUGUUUAAGUUGGGAGAACUCAAAAUAGUUGCAAUAGAAUCUUGCUUCCUUCUAACGAUAUUAAACAAUGCAGAGAAUUUAUCUUUUAGAGGUUUGUUACCCACCCAAGUAUCAAACCAAAAUCUGGUUUGGGACCCAUCUUUUACAUUAAAAUGUCCAAGUUCUAAAAAAGUGUCUUUCACUUUCAUUAGACUUUUUCCAAAAAUGCGAGUCCAUCGGUUUUUUUUCACAACUUCCUAUGGUCUUAUUCUUAAUAUACUUGUUUCGUAACAACUCUUGCCAUAAACCAUCCUCAUUUAAUAACUUGAACAACCAUUUACUAAGCAAACAUUUGUUUUGAAUUUUUAAGUUUUGGAUUCCAAGCCCUCCUUGAUCUCUAGGCUAGCACAUAAUUUCCCAUUUGACUAAUCGGUAUUUUCUUUUGUGUUGAUCAUUCUGCCAGUAAAAACGAGACCUAAAACAAUCCAAUUUCUCCAACACACCCUUUGGUAGUUCAAAAAAAGACAUCAUAAAACAUCGGUAGACUUAACAGCACCGAAUUUAUGAGAACUAACCGACCACCAGUUGUUAGCAUUUUACCUUUCCACCCGCUAAGUCUUUUUUCAAUGCGUUCCUCGAUAGAUUUCCAGUCCUUAUUGUGCAGCUUCCUGUAAUGCAUAGGAAGUCCCAAGUAUCUAAACGGGUAUUUUCCCAAAACACACCCAAACAGUUGCGAAUAGAACUCUUCGUGAUCUUUUGCUCUACGGAAACAAAAGACUUUACUUUUACGAAAGUUUAUCUUUAAGCCAGAUAGUUGUUCAAACGUGCUUAAUAAUAGUUUCAUAUUGAUAGCUUUCUCAACAUCAUGGCUCAUAAAUAUCACUGUGUCAUCCGCAUACUGGAGGAUGGAUAAACCAUCUUCGAUGAGAUGUGGGAUAACACCUUCUACUUGGCCUGCAUCUUUUGCUCUAGCAAUUAGUAUGGUCAACAUAUCCACCACUAUAUUAAAUAGUAUUUGCGACAUGGGGUCAUCUUGCCUUAAGCCUUUUUUAGACUGGAAAUAAGGUCCUAACUGGUCAUUAACCUUGAUAUUAACGUUACCGCCUUGUGUAAAGUGUUUUGUCCACUCACACCAUUUGUGAGAAAAACAUUUCAUUCUUAAAGUUUGUUGUAGGAAAUCCCAAUUUACUUUGUCAUAAGCUUUCUCAAAGUCUAUUUUAAAAAUCACCCCAUCUUGUUUUUUUAUGUAAUUCAUGAAUAGUUUCAUGCAGAAUCACAACACCCUCCAUGAUAUUUCUUCCUGGCAAAAAGGCUGUCUGAGUCGAUCUUAUCAGUUUUUGGGCCACUGUGGUAAGUCUAUUUGUCGCCACCUUAGUGAAGAUUUUAAAAGAGACGUUCAACAAACAGAUAGGCCUAUAUUGUUGAAUUACCCUUGCUUCAGCUUUUUUAGGUAACAAAAUAAUAUUACCAAAAUUCAAACGAUUUAGAGGUAGUGUUCCCUGAUAAAAAUCUGAGAACAAAGCCAUCAAAUCAUUUUUAAUUAGCUCCCAAAAAACUUGAUAAAACUCCGGAGGAAAGCCAUCCGGACCAGGUGCUUUAUUAUGUUCCAUUUGGAAAAUAGCUAUUCUAACUUCCUCCUCCAAGAAUGGUGCAAUUAACAACUCAUUUUCCAGAUCUGAGACUUGAGGUAUGUCCACCGUCUGUGAUUCAUCUAAUGAAAUUAGAGAGGCAUCAGACGGACCGAACAAGUUUUUGUAAUAACUGGUAAUAUGCUGUUUAAGUUGAGCAUCACCAGUUAUAAUACUUUCCCCAUCGUCAAGCUGAAAAAUAUGAGUUUUCCUAUGCCUACCAUUGGCUAAUAAGUGAUAGUACUUAGUAUUAGUGUCACCUUCCAACAAGUGCUUCACUUUAGCCCUUUGGUACCACUUAAGCUCCUCCUCCCUCAAGAGUUCUGCCAAUCUUUCAUUUAGAACAUGUUUUAAAUUUCUUUCAGAUUCAUUCAACUCCACCAGCUCUGCCUUUUUAUCCAGCUCAUCUAGUUUGUUUAAUAAAAAAAUUUUCUCUUUUUUGUACAGUCCACUCACGUGUUUUGCCCAACCUCUAAGCUGUUGUCUUAAUCUUCUAAUUUUCAUUUGCCACCUUUCUAUCGGCGAACCAGAAACCGUAGUAUUCUGCCAAAUAUCCGCCACCAUCUCACAAAAGCCGUCUCUCAACAACCAACCCAACUCAAAUUUGAAUUGAGUUUGAAAAGUUGACGAAGCAUUAUUUGUAGAGACUAAGAGUGGUGUAUGAUCAGAAAUUUCUCUAUUCAGUGCCUGCACAGAGGUAUGAGUAAACUGUGCUUCAAAGUCUGUACAUACUAAGACUCUGUCUAACCUUUCAAAAGUUUGGUUUGGCAUAUUAUUUGCCCAAGUGAAUUUUCUUCCUGACAACUUUAUUUCUCUUAGGUUCAGACUGUCAAUGACAGCAUUAAACAUAAAUGGCCAUCUAUCAUUAUAAUGAUCAUUAUUUUUCUCGUCAGGCCCGCGGAUAAUAUUAAAGUCACCACCUACAAGAAUAGAAACAAAUCCGUACUAGCUCAGACAAGAAUUUUGCCUUUUAAUCUACCUGUGCUGGGCCAUAAACUGAUAUCAAAUUAAAUUUAAAAUCGUGUUCUUUGUGUCUAAGCUUAAAUCUGAUUAAAAAAACUACUCCUUCAAUUUCCCCAAUGUCGAAAGUUAACAAAUGAAUGCCUAGAAUCAUACCACCAGGGAGUAUGUUUUUUAACAAGAAAAUGAGUUAUUUAAGUCAAUUAUCUCCAUUAAGCCAUGCUAUGAUGAGCUAAACACUGAGUUCUUCUCUCUAGUUAGACACAUCUAGUAGGUAGGCUCUAUAUAUGCCAAUUUAGGCUACUCCGAGUUUGGUGUUAUCAAAAUUGCCACAGUAUUUCCAAUUAUCAUUGGAUGUAGAAAAAUAUAGAGAGAGGGGAUUAGAUAGGAAUCUCCUCGAGCUAUUUUCUAUCCGAUCCCAUUAUAUAUAUCGUGAUUAUAGGAAAAGGAGAUCUCUUUUUUUGAACUGGUCUAGUUUUCUAAGAUCUAUUUGGGUAUGUGUCCAUAACUAAUUGUUUAGUCAUCUAGACUGUGCAAACAAGUGGACUAAUAAGUGAAUAAUUUUUAGUUCACAUUUCAUCAACUAAUAACUAAUCAAUUAGUUUGAUAUAAAAGAAAGCUGGAAUCUACUAAGAGCUAAUAUGUAAACAUUACAGGACUAUAAACUUGACUAAGGGUAUUGUUUGGAUAUACAUGACUAGUUACUAGCUAUGUAAAAAUUAGCUCAAAUUAGCUAUGAUUGUCUUAACUACUAGUUGAACAAUUGGCUAAAAAAUCAUCCAGCUAUUAGCUCUACCUUUUGAAUGUACUAAAACUAAUUUUGACUAACUUUAGCUAGCAAUUAUAUUUGUAUAAAACAUCCUUAGGACUGGUCAUGUCAAGAAUCUUAGCAUAAAGAAUGAUAUCCCGUAUGAUUUCUCAUUGUUCAUCUACCAAAUUCAAACUGAAAAUAUUCCAACGGCGUUAACGUUUGCUCCUUUUUCGUUCAAGCCUCACUACAUAAGGCCUUGUUCCGAAUUUUUUUGAUUUCGGUACCGUAGCAUUUCUGUUUUUAUUCGACAAAUAUUAUCCAAUUAUGGACUAACUAGGCUCAAAAGAUUCAUCUCGUGAUUUACAGGCAAACUGUACAAUUAAUUUUUGUUUUCGUCUAUAUUUAAUACUCCAUGCAUGUUCCGCAAGAUUUGAUAUAAUAGAGAAUCUUGAAAAGUUUUUGGUUUUUGGAUGAACUAAAUAAGGUCUAAAAAAAUGGCUUGAUACGUUGGAAAUUAAUCUAAGCCUUAUUUAGUUUACCCCAAAAUCUAUUUUUUUUCAAGAUUCCCAAUCAUAUUAAAUUUUGCGGCAUAUACAUGAACCAUUAAGCACCUGUUUGGCACAGUGAGUCAGUGAACUGUUUUUUUUAGCCAAAUACUUUUUUUUCUAAAACAGUUUUAUGGAUGAAGCUAUUUUUCUUCUCCUCUCACAAAGAUACAAGUUGAAGCUAAAAAAACAUCUUAUCCUAGCUCUCUCUCCCAUUUCUUUCUUUCUCCCAUGCAUGAAGGUUCGAGUGAAGCUAUUUUAUCAAAUAACUUUUUCAAAACAGCUUAAUUUUACCUAAAAAGUUACUCAUGAAGCUCUUUUCUAAAAAAACGUCACUAGUGAAGCUGAGCUGUGUCAAUAGGACCUAAAUAUAAAUAAAAAAAUAACUAAUUAUAUAGUUUAUCUGUAAUUUACGAGACAAAUAUUUUAAACCUAGUUAGUUUAUGGUUAGAUAAUAAUUAUCAAAUCUAUAUCUACUAAUAAAUUAUAAAAAUUUCAGUCUGCCCGUAAUUUUCUUCUACCCCCGUCUCGGCCAGAAUCGGUCUCCGUCCGUUUAAGGGUUGUAGGAGAGAAAAAAGAAAUAUAAUAUUUUCUAGGUUCCCAAUGCAAAAUCUUCGGUUUAUAUUUCGGCUAGCCUCUACCGUGCUUGUAGAAGAGAAAAAAAUAAUUUUUUUUUCAGGGUUUCUAAUGCAAAAUCUCUUAUAUCCUAUUAAUUUUCUUUUCUUUUAUUCUUUAAUUUGGCUAAAAAUUAAUAAAUGUAUAGUAAAUUAUAAAAAAUCUAAAAAUUACAAAACAAAUUUUAUUCAGCUCCAUUUAUGUAGAUUCAUGCAGUAAACAAAAAAUAGGUACAAAGUGUUUGUCCUAUUAAUUUACCUUUUCUUUUAUUCUUUAUAUCAGCUGAAAAUUGAUAAAUGCGUAGAAAUUCAUAAAAAAUCUAAAAAUUACAAAACAAAAUUUGUUCAGAUCCACAUAUGUAGAUCUAUGUAGUAAACAAAAAAUAUUACAAAAUUUAGUAUAUUUUUUUGCUAGAGAUGCAUGCCUAUGUUUUUUAGUGUAAAAUUUAAAUUGUACUCCCUCCAUCCCAAAUUGUAAGUCAUUUCAAGAAUCUUGGAGAGUCAAACUUUUCAAAGUUUGACCAAAUUUAUAUGAUAAAAUAAUUAUUAUUAUGAUACCAACUAAAUAUCAUUAGAUUCUUCCUUAAUUAUAUUUUCAUAGUAUACUCACUUUAUAUUACAAAUCUUAGUAUUUCACUCUAUAAUUUUGGUCAAACGUGAAAAUACUUUGACUCUCUAAGAUUUUUGGAAUGACUUAAAAUUUGGGAUGGAGGAAGUAAACAAAAAAUAUUACAAAUUUUAGUAUAUUUUUUUGCUAGAGAUGCAUGCCUAUGUUUUUUAAUGUAAAAUUUAAAUUGUACUCCAUCCCAAAUUGUAAGUCAUUUCAAGAAUCUUGGAUAGUCAAACUUUUCAAAGUUUGACCAAAUUUAUAUGAUAAAAUAAUUAUUAUUAUGAUACCAACUAAAUAUCAUUAGAUUCUUCCUUAAUUAUAUUUUCAUAGUAUACUCACUUUACAUUACAAAUCUUAGUAUUUCACUCUAUAAUUUUGGUCAAACGUGAAAAUACUUUGACUCUCUAAGAUUUUUGGAAUGACUUACAAUUUGGGAUGGAGGGAGUAGUUAUCUUGCUCCAAUUAUUAUAAAAAAUUUAUGGUAGCCUAUUUAAUAUGAUGUUUGAUUUGUGGUAAAAGUUCUAGCACCAUUCCUGCAUAUCUCACUGAUUUACUAAUUUACCUAAAUUUAUGCUUGCUAAAUAGUUUAGCAUCAAUUUAAGUGUGUAAAAAUAUAAAAUAGAUAAUUCCACUACCUUUGCACGAUGUAUUGUUAUAUCAUAUGAACACUUCAUAAUUAAGCCUAUAUAUUUAUAAUCUAUAUACAUUUAACUGAUAUAUCAUAUUUAUAGGAAUCCUAAUCUAAAUAAAAAAAAUAAAGCUAGCAACAAACUUCUCAUGUUUUAAUAUAAUACUACUAGUAUUAUUAUUAAAUAAAUAUGUCUCCAAGCUACAUAAUAUUGUAAAUAUUAACUAUCUUAUACCGUAGAUGUCAUGGUUAUCAAUAAAAUAAAUUAUGGACUUUAAAUUUCAUAAAAAAGAUAAAUAUAAAUAGAUAUGUAAUAUUAUGUCACCAUUUUUAUGACCAUUUGAUGUUUUUCUUCCGUUGCAACGUACGGACAUAUUUGCUAGUACAAACAAAAGUGUUAAGUGUCAAAAUUUAAAAACCUUUUGAUCUAAACCAGCCCUAUCUACGCAAAAAAUUAGGAGUAUUCCAAAGGACAGAUAAAGAUUAUUUCGAAAAAGUAGGUAGAUUUCCACGACGGCACGACCUGCACUGCAUGCAGCCUUUUGCACUUCUCGUUCCUUCCCAUGAAGCCUAACACCUCAGGAAAAAGACGGAAGUGCCCCCUUAAAAUCCAAACUGAACCUGAGAACCCAAACCCGCAUCCGAUCCUGCAAAAGAAGUUGCAGGCAGAGAGAUUCCUCGCAAAAGGAAGCCGGUGAGCCGGAGGGAUUCCCGCCGGUUCCACGCACCGGCUCGCUGGACCUCUCGUCUCCCUCCCCCUCCCUUCCCUGUGCCGCCCACGGCAGAAUGGCGGGAGCCGACGGGGCGCAGCAGCACCACCACCCCUGCAGCAUCUGCAUGGAGCCCAUGGCGCCCACCGCGGCGCACCGCGGCGCACCGCGGCGGCGCCGCCUGCGCGCACGCAUUCUGCGGCGCGUGCCUGUCCGGGCACGUCCGCGCCAAGCUCGAGUGCGGCGGCGGUGGCGCCGUGGUGCGGUGCCCCGACGCGUCCUGCGCUGCCGCGCUCGAUCCGGAGCUCUGCCGCGGCGCGCUCCCCUCCGAGGUCUUCGAGCGCUGGUGCGCCAAGCUCUGCGAGUCCCUGUUCCUCGGCGCGCGCCGCACCUACUGCCCGUUCCCGGACUGCUCCGAGAUGAUGGUGGCCGACGACGACAGCGAGGAGUGCGUGACCCAGUCCGAGUGCCACGGGUGCCGCCGGCUGUUCUGCGCGCGGUGCGCGGUGCCGUGGCACGCCGGCGUGACCUGUGAGGAGUUUGAGCGGCUCGGUGAGGGGGAGCGCGCGCGGGAGGACCUGCUGCUCGUGAAGGCCGCCCGGGAGGGCAACUGGAAGCGUUGCCCGCGCUGCAGGUUCUACGUGGAGAAGUCCAGUGGCUGCCUGCACAUUACCUGCAGGUAAAGGUUGCUUCUUGUUUACAGUGUGGAAAACUAACCAAUCUGAUUGCCGUCGUCGUGGCCUCAGUCAACCUUUUGUAUUUCAUUAGUACAUUGUCCUUGUUUGAUUCGAUUGUGCAGGUGCGGGUAUGAGUUUUGCUAUGGAUGCGGUCAGCAAUGGCAGCUGAUACAUGACGGCUGUCCUGGGGCAUGAAACAGGUGUGAAUGAUGCUCGCUAGUGUAGUUUAUCUGGAUUUCCAUUGGAACAAUGAAUCAUCAAUCAUGCAUGUCCCUUUCUCUCUCUUAAUACUCUGAUCUUGAGGAUUGAUGCUAGGAGGCUCAGGUGGCUUUGUUUUCAACUUAAUCGAAUGUGCUUGAUUAUUUGGUAUGUCUUGCUCCGAUUUAAACUAUUUAUGUAGCACUUCACAAUCUUGUGACAUGUUAUGCGUGUGAUCAAAUUGUGUGCUAUUUCAUUUUGCUGUUACUUGAUUGAGAAAUUAUUGAGGUAAAAUAUUACCUCUGUUUGGAUCUCCUAAAAAAUGAGAUCGAGAUCCAAACACUUGGAUUGUAGAAUGAGAUUCUGGGAUCCAAAUAUCUACCCAAACCUUGCAAUUUGGAGAUUCUCACAGUGCAAAGGAAAUAAUCACUGUGAGAUUGAGAUCCAAACACCUCUGUUUUUUUUAAUUUAGAAUUUGGAUUCUGUUUCGCUAUCUAUAAUCACUAUGAGGAUGGGAUCCAAACAGGGCCUAUUUUGCAGGGAAAUGCUUCUUUUGCGGUGUUUCAUGCCUUGUUGUGUAAUGUGGACUUCUAGCAUUUCUCAGAUCAUUUCUUUGUUUCUGAAUCUUUGAACUGGAAACUGAGAACUAGAGUUGUGGCUUUGUAGUUCUGCCACCACUGCAUAUCUCUUACUGUGGAGAGAGAACGUUUAGCUGCUUGACAUAAUGAUAGUACUAAGUGUCUCCUUAUCAGUGUAGGUCCAUUUUGGCAUUUGGUUUUAUACUGGUCUUAACAUUAGCGUUCAGUUUGUUUAGUUUAUUUGUGUGAGCUUUGCCUUUGUCGGAAAAGGUAACUUGUGCUGUAGACAAAGAAUGUUAUGCGUAGACUUGGUCUUCUCUGGUUAAACUGAAAACUAGCUCUGCGUACAACUACUGAGGAGCAACAAAGGCCAAUUGUUCACUACCUCGGUACCUUCUUGUCAGUCAAAUCAUUUGCUGCAUUUGAGACUUAGUGCUUCACAGAUUAAAUUAACUGGUAUAGAAUUGUUACCUUUGUUUAGUGGACAAUUUUUGGAGUGGUAAGUGCUAUAUUAUGGUAGUUAUUGUUUUGAUCACUUUAUUGUUAGAGUUACCAUGAACUCACUGUUUCUGAUUUUAAGGGGCAAGCUUGUGAAUCUUCUCCUGCAUAUACUCCUUUCAUGCUGCUGUGUAUACUGGUUUUUGUCCAUUGUCACAUUGCAAAUUUUGGAAAUAGAAAAAAAAUACAACAGGGCUACGGAAAAACAUUUUGCCUAAUUUGACAUGUCUUCUCAACACUUGUAUCUCAAUCUAGUUUACAAAAGUAGCUUGUCAAAAGUUACAUUGCUAUGUUGUGUAAUUUGUGCUUACAACACGACACUGUGCCAUUAAACCCCUAAUGAGAAGUUACAAUACGAGGAAAAAAAUAUUUUAUUUUAUUUUUGACAAAAAGGGUUCCCCCCUGCUUUAUAUUCAUAAAGCACAAACAGUUCACAGCAGAGAUUUGAGGAAAAAAUUAUAAUGAGAGGACUUAAGAUCUUUGGUACAGCCCUGGUUAUUGUUGAGUCGAAGCAGUCAGCUCUCAAUGCAGAAAAUUGGAAAAAUUAAAAUUAUGUUUUACCUUGUAGUUACUGUUGACAUUUCAAAGUACGUUUGAUCAAUUGCAGGUUUGGCUUCGAGUUCUCCUGUGGCUUCGUUAAGCAAUGGGAGCUGAUACAUGAUGAGGGUUUCAAGAAUGGAGUAGGUAUUGAUGUUGCUAUCAGUAUGGUUUCUCUAGUCCCAUGUGAACCAUGGUCCAUGGAUAGUCUGAUAACCUCUCUACAGUACUUUGGAAUAUUGUUCUCAUGCAUGGUGUUUGUCUCCAGUAACAUGCCGACAUGAUACUUUUCUUUAACUUAAGCUGAGUUUGACAGUGCUUGGAAUUUUACGAUGCAGUACAUACGGGGUAGUUGCAUUAACAGGACAAUCUAUUUGAUACUGACAUGGGAAAUUAUAUAUAGGUCUUUUAUCUUUUUUAUUUCCUCAACCCUGUGAGCUGAACAGAACGACAAUUGCAUCAGUAUGGUCAGAAAACGCAAAAAGCAUCACAAAUCAAUCCAAUACCCUGAUUUGUGAUAGAAGUAAUCAAGAAGACGAUUUCAUGACUACAUGUGAGCAACAUUUAUGAUCGGCUGUUGAAUUUGCGAUUUACACAGGGAAAUCAAUUCAUAGUAUUCUAAAUUACAGUCGGUUGGUUGAAUCAUGUCUACCUUCCAGCAUUUGCUGUUGACGUUGUUUCCUUUGUGCUACAUUGUGCCCAUGCACUUUCCAGUCUAAAGUUCACAACGAUGAACCUGGUAGGAGUUACUCUACCCUGUAGAGGGACUGAAAUCGGCUGGUUCAUUUGUUUUAUAUUGUAUACAGAUUCAGAUAUACAUUAGGCAUGUGUGUAUAUAUAGGAGGGAUCUCUGCAGAUAUGGCUCGAGACAUGUAGAAUGAAGCACAAAGACAGAUGCUUUGCGGUUGAGUCACUCAAAUUAUAGGCCGAAUUAACGUGGGAGCCUGUCUGUAGAAAACCAAAACUAUCAGCGAAGACUAUUUUUCUCACAAAGAAAUUAUAUAUUUUUUUUAUUAAUAAGUCAAGCUUGGAAGGGCUCCUCUGCCUAUGGCUCGGUGUCGGAGGAGUCGGAGCUGGAGAAGCCACAAAACGUGCUAAAAUCUAUGAGAUGUUGGUAAAUCAACAGUUGAGCCGAACUAAAUACUCCGUUCUACUGGUGUAGCUGUGCUUCUUGCCUCGAUUUCCCUCGGCUAUCCAGAUGAACGCGCGAGGGCGCCGGCGCCACGAAUGCUUGUCCGAAGCACGGGUGGGCAGUUUUGCACAAGCAAUAGAAGACGGCGGGCUCGUCAGCUAUGCUGUGUGAGUUGCGAACAAGUAAUCCUCGUGCUUUUCACCCUUUAAUUACUUGUGCUUUGGGUAAUUGGGCAUUUCGGUUACAGCGAGGAACGCGAGAUGUUGUUUGCCAAGAUCUUGUGGUAGCUUUGCUGGCUUCUGCGCACUACUCGCACUCGGCACUCGAGCGAUUCCCCUCAAGCUCGUGGAGGUCUUGGUGGCCACCAGCUAUGACUGAGAUGCGAGCAAUGGCUGGAUGGGACGUACCCUGGCAUACAGUCAUUUCAUUUCUACGUGUGUCUUUUGCGCUGGAAGUGGUAAGCGAGCGGCUGUGCAUGCCUUUGAUUGGAUUCCUGUUGCUUGCAUCUUGCUGCACCCGUUCCUAGCCACUCCAACAGUGAUCGCUCCAAAUCGAUGAUGUGGACGAAGAUGGCAAAACAGUGCACACAAGUUGACUCCAGCAAUGCCCCAUCGCAUUACACAGUCACAGACAGUAGUAGUAUUUAUCCCUUCAAGAAACUCAAAAGUCAUCACAUUUUAUGUUUAUACGUUAGUGCAGACUGGUACUAGCAUAUACACUGUUACUCCGUAUAAAGGUAUCAGGCAGGACAUGCGCUGUCCUGAACGGUGAAUAUCGCAGAGUUUUACAGGUUCCAAAUCUACCUUGGCGUUCUAUUUCAAACCGUCGUCCUUCCCUUUCCACCCGUGACCACCGAGUAGCAGUAGCAGCAGCAGCAGCCCACAAGCGCGCGCGUACAAACAAGCCGCUGAUCCGGCGUCCAAACACGCGGUGGCCCACGCCCGCGCCGGCCCAUCCACCCAUCCUCCUCCACUCCCCCCCCUCUCCUCUCCUCUCGCUCGCUCAGCCUCAGCCUCACCCCCUCACUGCGUCUCCCAGUCCGGCCGCAUCCACGGCCGCGCCGCGUCGCCACUCAGCUCACCCCGUCCCGUCUCUGCCUCCCCGUACCGCACUCUUGCACUGCACACCACCAGCGCAUCGCAUCUGGCCUGGCCACCUGACCUCCCCCGCCCUCCCUCUUCUUUACCCGAGGUGGCAGCGAGGCGCCUCCUCGCUUUUCCGCUUUCCCACUUCGCCUCGCUCUUGUCCCCAAUCGUCCCGAUCCGGCACCCGCGCAAUGCCGCCGCCGCCGCACUACUAUCCCGUCCUGCUGCCGCUACUGGUUCUUGCGGCUGUGGCGGGCGGGGGAGGGGGAGAGGCAGAUGGACUGGAGCGGACGUACAUCGUGCGGGUGGACGCCGACGCGAAGCCGUCGGUGUACCCGACGCACGCGCACUGGUACGAGGCGGCGGUGCUGGCGGCGGCCGGCGAUGGCGCGGGGUGGCCGGAAGGGGGCCCGCUGAUCCACACCUACUCGGCCGCCUUCCACGGGUUCUCCGCGCGGAUGUCCCCCGCGGCCGCCCAAGCGCUGGCGUCCGCGCCCGGGGUGGCGGCCGUGGUGCCCGAGCGCGUGCGGCAGCUCGCCACCACGCGGUCCCCGAGGUUCCUCGGCUUGCUGUCCUCCCCGCCGUCGGCGCUGCUCGCGGACUCCGACUUCGGGGCUGACCUGGUCAUCGCCAUCGUCGACACCGGCAUCUCCCCCGCGCACCGCAGCUUCCACGACCGCGGGCUGGGCCCGGUCCCGAGCCGGUGGCGCGGGGUGUGCGCGUCCGGGCCCGGGUUCCCGCCCAGCGCCUGCAACCGCAAGCUCGUCGGUGCGCGGUUCUUCUCCAAGGGGUACGAGGCCACCUCGGGACGCAUGAAUGAGACGGCGGAGGUCAGGUCCCCGCUCGACACCGACGGGCACGGCACCCACACCGCGUCUAUCGCUGCGGGGAGGUACGUGUUCCCGGCGUCCACGCUUGGGUACGCGCGCGGCGUGGCCGCCGGGAUGGCGCCCAAGGCGCGAUUGGCAGCGUACAAGGUGUGCUGGGUGGGUGGCUGCUUCGACUCCGACAUUCUCGCGGCCUUCGACGCCGCCGUCGCCGACGGUGUCGAUGUGGUUUCGCUCAGCGUCGGUGGCGUUGUUGUGCCGUACUACCUCGACGCGAUUGCUAUCGGGGCGUUCGGCGCCACCGAAGCCGGUAUCGUCGUCUCUGCUUCGGCCGGCAAUGGUGGUCCCGGUGGGCUCACGGUGACCAAUGUGGCGCCCUGGAUGGCCACCGUCGGGGCUGGCUCCAUGGACCGCGCGUUCCCGGCCAAUGUGCGGCUCGGCGACGGGCAGGUGCUCGACGGCGUGAGCGUGUACGGGGGGCCAGCGCUCGAGUCCGGCAGGAUGUACGAGCUGGUGUACGCCGGGGCGAGCGGCGACGGCGGCGGCGGAGCUUCGUCCGCGUCCGACGGGUACUCGGCGUCGAUGUGCCUCGACGGCUCGCUGGACCCAGCCGCAGUGCACGGCAAGAUCGUGGUGUGCGACCGCGGCGUGAACUCGCGCGCCGCCAAGGGCGACGUGGUCCACCGCGCGGGUGGCAUCGGAAUGGUGCUAGCCAACGGGGCGUUCGACGGCGAGGGCCUUGUCGCCGACUGCCACGUCCUUCCGGCGACCGCCGUCGGCGCGGCUGCGGGCGACAGGCUCCGCAAGUACAUCGCGUCGUCCACCAAGCAGAGGCCCGCCACGGGUACCAUCCUGUUCGAGGGCACCCACCUGGGCGUGCACCCGGCGCCGGUGGUGGCGGCGUUCUCGGCGCGCGGCCCGAACCCGCAAUCCCCGGAGAUCCUGAAGCCGGACCUGAUAGCUCCCGGCCUCAACAUCCUGGCGGCGUGGCCCAGCGGCGUCGGCCCGGCCGGCAUUCCCUCGGACAUCCGCCGCACCGAGUUCAACAUCCUGUCAGGCACGUCCAUGGCCUGCCCGCACGUGUCCGGGCUCGCCGCGCUGCUCAAGGCGGCGCACCCGACCUGGAGCCCCGCGGCGAUCAAGUCGGCGCUGAUGACCACGGCCUACGUGAGGGACAACAGCAACGGGACGAUGGUGGACGAGUCGACGGGCGCGGUGGCCGGCGCGUUCGACUUCGGCGCCGGGCACGUGGACCCGAUGCGCGCCAUGGACCCGGGUCUGGUGUACGACAUCGGGCCGGGGGACUACGUCAACUUCCUGUGCAACCUCAACUACACGGAGCAGAACAUCCGCGCCAUCACGCGGCGGCAGGCGGACUGCCGCGGCGCGCGGCGCGCCGGGCACGCGGGCAACCUCAACUACCCGUCGAUGUCGGCCACGUUCGUCGCCGCGGCGGACGGCGCCAGGGAGACGACGACGAUGAGGACGCACUUCAUCCGGACGGCGACCAACGUGGGCGGGGGCGGGAAGGCGGUGUACCGCGCGUCGGUCCAGGCCCCCGAGGGGUGCAACGUGACGGUGCAGCCGCGGCAGCUGGCGUUCCGGCGCGACGGGCAGCGGCUGAGCUUCACGGUGCGGGUGGAGGCCGCGGUGGCGGCGGCGCCCGGGAAGAGGAUGGAGCCCGGGAGCUCGCAGGUGCGGAGCGGCGCGCUGACGUGGAGCGACGGCAGGCACGUCGUCCGUAGCCCGAUCGUGGUGACGGUGCAGGCGCCAUUGCAGUGACUAGUACUGAUGACCGCGGAUGGAGCCGGAGCUGUGGUGAGGCCAUCGACGGGAGGUGGGGGAGAACACAGUCUCAGUGUUCUUUGUGAGUCCUCAAGGUUUUUAGCUUUUCUGUAUUAAUUAAGGUUGCUGUUAGCUGUAGAAUACGGUCGUGGAAGAGCUGUAUCGGUAGCUACUACGUAAGCUAUUAUAUACUGGAAGUCUGGAGCUCGUCGAUCUCCGGUCGUCUUCCUCCAUUUCUCCUCGUCUUGCUUUGACUGCUGCUACCAUUUGCUUCUGUUUUCUGAUGAAGCAUGCCAUGUCGGCCACCAGUGUUUGUGUGGUUUUUGCAGGGAAUGGCUUUCAAGUGCUGUGAUUGAAUGGCCCUCGUCGUCCUCGGCUGAGCUCACAUGGACGCGUCAUGUGAGUGAGAUAUAUGAUCAUAUGAUGAGUGGGGUUCGGGUGAGUGCGUACUUGAAGUAGGAUCCCGCUUUCACUCAUUCAUUCAUUGGCCUUUAAACCGGGAAAUUUUCGCGAGGAGAUGGAGGGAAGCAAGCAGGGUGACGAGUGCAGAGUGCAGCGAGCGCUUUGUCAAAAGGCACCGCCGUAGGCAAAAAAAUCAAUGGCCCUGACUGACUCGAUGGUAGUACUACUGUAGAGACUAGAGAGGGUUGCUCCCCAUAUCUUCGUGUGACUUUUACUCCAGCAUUGCAUUUCCGUCAUUGAGACGUUAAUUAAUAGCAGCUUUCGGGACAGAUGACUGUGGCCAUGUUUCGUCACGGCCGCUUCGUGCCAGCUGGGGGUACUAUAGUACUGUGAUUUUGUUAGUAGAAACUUUCAUUUGGCCACCAUUGACGACCGGGCCUUCGCUUUUGCUGCGCUAAUUAACCAUUUCCCGGCGACCGAAGGGAACAUGAACAUGCCCCGACACAUGAGGGCAUGAGGACUAGUGUUCUCCCUGUCGUUCGUUGACUUGAGUGGACUCCAUUGACGACCAGGCCUUGCUCAUUCCGGGUCCCAGCUGAGGAACAGCGACGAAACAUAUGGCCCGGCACACACAAUUCCAUUCUCACGGUCGUUCAGCAGUUUUCAAUCCAGCGAACGAUCUGACAGCUAAUACAUACCGGUUGGCUACUCUCUUUCCCCCUCCUCCCACUUCCCUUUUCCUCUGUUUUUGAUGUCAUCAUAAAAAAAAGCAAAACAUUUAUUUCAAAUUAUUAUAACUUUUAAAUGAUGUAUCUAUUUUUAAUUUCGUCUACACCGGUGUGUUCAACGUGACGAGACGAACAAAACUAGACCCCACUUCUGUAUGUUUCGAAGAUUUUUAUUUUUUUUAGUACCAACUUAUGUAUAUUAACUUAUAACAUAUAAUAUAUAUUGCUAACUUAUUCUGCUAAAUUAUGCUGCUAACCUAUUCUGCUAAGUUGUAUUGUAUAACUUCAGUUUGUGUAUAAUAACUGCGUAACUUUCUAUAUACACUAGCGUAUUAGUUGUGUAACUUAUGUACAUAAGUUGUAUUGUGUAAAUUAUGUCUCCCUCUAUUCCAAAUUAUAAAAUGUUUUGAUAUUUCUACAUAUAUUGAUUUUGUUAUGUGUAUACAUAUAUAGUUGUGUCUAGAUACAUAGUAAAUUCAAUUUAGAAAAGUCAAUAUGCUUUAUAAUUUGAAAUAGUGGGAGUAAACUUAUGUACAUAAGUUAUAUAGUAUAACUUUUUUGAGAACGACUAACUUAGCAAUGUUGAGUUAUUCCUCGAACUUAUGUUGUCUAGAAGCACUGCUAAGUUAGUACUGUUAAGUUUAUAGUAAAAGUUAUGCUUUUUAAUUCUGUUUUAUAAGUUAUGAGCACAUGCUUCUUAAAAAAAAUAAAAAAGUAUUAAAGAAGAGGUGAUCUAGCAAAAGAAAGUGAAAAGAGAAUCGAAUGCCUUAAAAGAGAAAGAGAAACGAUUCCUGUUCUGUCCAAAAAUAAAAAGUAAUAUAUGCACUUUCCAAAAAAGAAAAAAAAUAGCUGUCGGAAAUUGACCGCUGGUUUCAUUUACGCCGAACGUUCGUGAAAUAGUAACGUCACCCGCAUCGAGCGUCUGCGUGGCUGCGAGUCAGAUGUACCCGUUUGCGUAGUUUAAGAAAAGUUUUUAGGUAUUACAACAUAUUUCUAAUAAUUAAUAUCUCAUUAUAGAUUACUUAAAUUUAAAAGAUUUGUUUUAAAAUAUAUGCUAAAUAGGCCACGGCCGAUGCUGACUUGACGAGGCCCGCCAUCUCGUUUCACUGCUUUCCAAUGUCGCCUCCAGGGGCACUCGGGGCUUGUUUAGUUUCGAAAAGAUUUUGGAUUUUAGUACUGUAACAUUUUCGUUUUUAUUUGAUAAAUAUUAUCUAAUUAUAGAUUAACUAGGCUCAAAAGAUCUAUCUCGUAAUUUACAGACAAACUGUGUAAUUAGUUUUUAUUUUUAUCUAUAUUUAGUGUUUAAUGCAUGUGCCGCAAGAUUCGAUGUAACGAGAAAUCUUGAAAACUUUUUGGAUUGGCCUCGAUGUGCCUCUACGCUCUGUCCUCUCUCCAUAGGUCGCACGCAACCAUUGUUGUUGCUCUGCGACAUGUGUGUGUGCUGGCCUGCUGGCCAGGUACGAGCGACACCGCCACCAUGUCAGGGAUUCUCUCUAUUUUUUCCACUCGUUCUUCUAGCCACGGUCCACGACAGAUUCCUUGCCGUCGUGCAUCCGAUGGACUGCGAGGUCGCUGACAGUGCGCAUGUGCUUAACCGGCCGAAUCAAUUUCGGCUCGGCAGGAAGGUGCGCACACACACUGGCAUGAACCGAGAGAGGAGGAGGCAGGCUAGGAAAAAGGGCAAAAUGAAGAUGCAAAUAGGGCCUUGGGCGCUAGUGUCCGGAUGCCGGCUUUUGUACGGUGCUCUGCCCGCCCCUUCAUACAGAAAAGAAAAGAAAAAAAAAAGAAAAGUAAGAUAUGCGAACCUAACCCCGUUCGCCCCCGCAAUGAGAAGAAACGAAACCGCCCCUUUCUUCCGCUCCCCACACAAGGAACUCACCCCGUCUCUCACGCGCACGAGAUUUACACUGUCCCCAACUUCGCCGGCCCUCGGCACCUCCACCCUGUCACCAUUUUGCCCCCCAUAACCAGUCCCUAGCUCGCUCCUCCUUGCCACUACAACAGUAGGAGAAACAUAUUGUAGCAACAGAAGAAUAACUGUUGAAACAUUGCUGGCUAGAGUUGCUGAAACACCAUGAAUAUAUUGUUACAACAACACCUAACAAUUGAUGCAACUACUACUACAACAUGCAGAUUGAAAACAACGGAAACAUGCUGCAAAAAUACAAAAACAAGACCGAACAACUACUGCAACAACAUGCAACACACUACUCCAACAUGCAGAUUGAAGCAAUUCAAACACAUGCUGCAACAUCUCAAAAAAGCAGUGCUACUACAACACCAUUUGAAAACCUACUACAACAUCCAGAGAAAACCAUUACAACAUGUGCAAGAGCUGAACCCAAGAGCUCGCCAGAAUCCUAGCCUACCGUAACAUUAACUGAAAACCUAGUACAAUAUCUGGAGAAAAUCAUUGCAACAUAGUGAAAGUUGAACCCCGAGAGCUCACUGAAACCCUAGCCUACUGCAAUAUCACCUGAAAAUGUAUUACAACAACCAGAGGAUAUCAUUGCAACGCGCACGAGAGCUGAACCUCGAGAGCUUGUCCGAAACCUAGCCAUCGCUACAUCCCUUGGAUCUAGAGAGAGGUGGUGGAGGAGGAGGAGGAGGAAAGGAAGGGGACGACUCAGAUCCACAAAGGAUCCACCUACCUCGCUGGAAGACACCACCGUCGAGCUUCUCACUAC